Molecule: long non-coding RNA, 84003 nt
Filed under: Solanum tuberosum (potato)
Lineage: Eukaryota; Viridiplantae; Streptophyta; Magnoliopsida; Solanales; Solanaceae
Description: long non-coding RNA (STUB_LNC002434)
Source: RNAcentral
AGUCACAAAGUUGAGGCAUAUAUUUAUCUCUUUUUCCUUGAAAAUAAAAGAAGUUGUCAACAUUAUCUAGUUCAUUCUUUGCAGAAUUGAAUUGGCAUUUUGAGCAAUAUUUGAGAUUGUUUUUACCAAAAACAAUAUUUGAGUUGAAGUUAGAAUUUUUUUCGGUGAAUAUUGAAUCCAAACUGUUUUACCCUUCGUCCUAUUCUCUUUAACUUUUCCUUAGAUGUUAUAUUGUAGAAGGAACUAUUGCUUGUUUUGGACUUUGGUUUUGUUUACGAUUAUUUAGAUAUGAUUAUUAAUUAGAUAGUUAAAUUUAAAUUUGAUUAGUUUCAUUAGAAAAAAGGUAGAUAUUUGCCAAAAAUAAGACAAACGACUUGAGUACAAAACUCCAAAAAACUUUAUUAAAAUGGGCACUACUGUCCAUACUUGACAUUAUUUGGUUUUAUUCAAAUAUGAUGCCAAGUUGCCAACCCCAUGGGGUAAUGCUUUGCAUGAACAAGACUAAACAAAAUGAGAAAAGAAAAAGUGGAUACAAUACAGCACCCACAUCCACCCCCUGUUUAACUUUAUCUAUGACACAUAAUUUCCUUCUGGGUGAUUUGGCGUACAACAAGCAAAUAAAUAUAGGAUACAACUGAUAACUAAGCCGGGAGCCCAAAACUUCUACAGCAAGCAAAACUCUUCCACAGCAAAUCUUGAAGCACUCUCUACUUGUUGGAAAAUAAUAAGACUUCACAAAUACCUGCAAGGAAGACUGGAUACAAAAUAAAACAGAAAUGUCAAGGAUGAUCAUAUACACAUUCCGACAUAUUGCUCAACCGUGGGGCGGGAGGGGGGGGAUAAUGGUAACUAAACCAAAGAGUUUAUAAGGCUCUUUGGACCAUCAUUUGCUCUCAGUGACUAGAUUAGCUAGAAAUUAGAAUCAGGUCCAGCAGAGUAUGGACAAAUUGUAAAUAUCUGAACUUGAUACUUAAAUUUGAGCAUCAGAUGCAUAAUUUGACACAUCAAUAUUCUUUUUUUGGGAAGAAAUCACUUAGUGUUUAGUCUUUGCAGGGAAUUGAAUCUAAGACCUUAUGGCGCUCAAUCCACUUCAUAGACCAUUAGGCCACACCCUUGGGUACAACUCAACAAUAUUCUACAUAAAACCUAAUUCAAAUUGCAAGCACAGGAGAAAAAAAAGAUCUAAACGAGAAAAAAGAUUAUUUCGUUACUUACAGAAAACAACUUAUGCAGAACAGCGGGCAGGAUUUAACUAGUGCCAGUACAUACAUACUCAUGUUGCGUCACAGAAAAGCAAUUGCAAGAUGGAAGAGCUUUACCUUAUGCCAUCAGGAGGAUUGAACCACAAAAAAUAUUCUACGGAAACAGAGGUAGGCAACCGAGUCCCAAGUUCUCUGGAAUUCCCAUCAUUAAGUUAAGAUUUUGUAAGGCUUGACCAGAAGCUCCCUUAACAAGAUUAUCAAUCUACAAAAAGGCAAUUGGGAGUUCAAAUUUAAUAACCAACUCCUAAUCUAACCAAAUAUCAGAUGCAGUGUAUAGAAAAAUGCUACAAAACUUACAACAGAUAUUAUUAUUGCUCUCCCAGUAAUCCGGUCUGGAAAUACAUUCAUGAGGCAAUAAUUUGAUCCUCUAACAUGUCGAGUAUGGGGAACUUCUUUGUUCUUCAGCAAUACCACAAAUUCUUCAUGCUGGAGAAGGUGAAAUACACACAUAUAUCAAUCAUCCUAAAGAGAAACAUAAGCAUUUUACUUAUGCAUAUGCAGAUAGAAUGAUAUAUCAUAACUACUUUUUGGACUCUAGAAAUGACAGGAUAACUGCUCUACUCGCACAAAGAUAUAUAUCUCAAACUCUUAUGUGGGUGGGAUGAAAUGUAAUGUACAACAAGUCAACAACAUCCUAAUCCCAGUUACAACUACAAACGGUAUCUAAGAAUCACAAAGAGUAGAAUAAAGCCUUCUAUAGAAAAUGAGAACUCUUUCAAAUUUGAAAAGGAAAAAAAAAAUUGGGAUGUCAAUCGUAAGCAACCUCAGAAUACAUUGAAAACAGAAUCAAUUGAGGAAUAUACUAACAGGAGAAAUGGAGUUCUAUUGGUCAAGGUGCAGAAAGAAAAAUGGUAAUGAAAUCCAUGAAUAAAAUGCUGCUCUGGUAAUGCGGCAGAAAGUAUAUACCUCAUAGUAGUUACCAAGGUGAUCUUUCAAAUCCUGAGUUGUCACUCCUGGAGCCAUUUCCACAUAAAUAGUCGAUUGCAUACCACGGCUCUGUAGCACAAAAAGAACAGAUAAAAAAACAUCCUAAGAGAAUGACCUGCUGAGCAGGGCAGCUAGACAAACUAGAACUGGGUUCAGCUAUUACCAUUGGCAUAAGAUGUGGAGUGAAGCUGACAGUAACUUUUGAAUUUGCAGCUUCUGAUAAGCCUUGUUCAAUCUCUGGCACUGUAAAUAAAAUUAGAACUCUCACUAGUAAGAUUACACUUGAUAAGAAAUUCUGAAGCAAAACUCAGGUGAACGGAAAUUUUGUCAGUAUGAACUACCCGUUUCGCUAGCUUCUGAAAACUUGAGGUACAUUACAUGAUAAAAACAGGCACAUGGAAGAGAUAAACAAAUGAACUUCAUGCAGAACCAAAGUCACUCAACUGGUACCAUUAAGUUAAAAGCUUUUGGGUUUCUCUGACAUAAGAUUAAUUCUAAACUAAGGUCAAUUACAAAAUAGAUAACCAUAUUCAUCAAAUAAUGAGUAUUGUUAUAUGAUCCUAGUGUAUUGGCUUAAUUAUAGUCUUACAUUUUACAGCAAAAUACUAUUUCUACCCUUCUAAGAAGGAAUCAUGUUAUUGCUAUUUGAAAAGGCAGAUAAAUUUUGCCUUUAUUUUUUUUAAUGAAUAGACUUGUAAUAUUUUGAUGUUUAACUUCUUAAAAUAUUUUUUAUCCAUUUCUGAAUUGGUUCAACCUACAGCUUGGUCCGAUAGAGUAUCAUGUUAAGGUGAGAUGAAUUGUCAAUUUUUGAUACUCCCUAUGUCCCAAUUUACGUGCCUUACUUUGCUUUUUGGUCUGUCCCAAAAAGAGUCCCGUUGUAUAUUUACUAUUUAGUAAGUUUUUCAAUUCCAACAUUCUACCUAGCAAGUUUAAGACCAUAAAAUUUAAAGUACUACACACAUCUUUUAUUUAAGACCACAAGGUUCAAAAGUCACCCUUUAUUUCUAACUUCGUGCUCAGUCAAACUAAGACACUAAAAUUAAGACGGAGGGAGUAAUUCUAAUUAGCUCUUAAAUUUGUAAAUUUUUCCAUUAAAAAAAUUAAGAAACAAUAACUUAGACAAUUUGGAUUAACAAAUAAAGCUUCAUUAUUUGCACAGCACAGCUAAAAUGGAUUACUGACCAUGUCGAUGUCUGGUUAUACCAUAAGAAUGUAUUCCUUCAGCUAUUUCAGUGUAUAAAUUUGCUUCCUUUGCACCACGACCUGCAAGAUAAAGUUUGAGAAGCCGGUUACUACUGCUAAAGUACUACCAGUGGCAGUCAUGACUAGGAAAGGGUACAGAAAAGUACAAAACCUGCUCCACUGACACCAGAUUUUGAGUCAAUAAUUAUGUUUCUUACUUCAAUGAGGUUGGACUGCAAAAAUAAAGAAAGAAUCAUCCAAGAGUGAGCCAUGGACAAAACACAAGAAAGGAAAAACUAAAUACAUUAGACUGAUACAGAUGUUUGAGUUCUCAACCAAAAGGGAACGUCUUAAACACAAAUUGCUCCUCCAGUGUAUGAGCACUAUAGCAUUUGUGCAUCAAACACCUUAGGCUGACGGCAAGCAAAGAAAAUCAUGCCUCAAAAUUAAAAAACACAAUUUUCAGUCAUAUUUUAUAAAAUGAGCUGGCAUAUGGGAUAGCCAUUUUUCUGAGCAAAAAAAAAUUGCAUCCCUAAGCUUACCGAGGAAUCUCUUGCUAAUUCAGAAUCAAGACUGACACAAGGAAAACCAUUUGUUUCAAGAAAGAGGGAUCAUAAGAUUUUCAGAACAUUGUAGCAGAAACCCAUGACUUCAGAUAUAAUUUGUGAUUGGAUCAACUUCAGAUAUUAGAAACCGGAAGAAAAAGAAAACCUCUAGUCAAAGACACUUUCAAAGUCACAAUACAGGCCGUUGAGUUCAACUACAUUAGAACCUUAGAAUUUAGCCAGAUACUUGUUCAAUUGGAAUAUGUUUCCACUAAAUUAUAUAUAAAAAAAAAAGGUGCUUGCCUAGGAUGUCUGAAACUAGCUUUUGAUUAAAAAUCAGCUGAAUAUUCAUUGUAGACAGGAUAGUUUAAAGGUUAAAAGGGGACAGAUAAAACCAUGAGAAGCUGGUCAAAUGAAAGGUUAUUUUGAGAAGAUUUUUUCUUCUUAUGAAGGGAUGAGUCAUUUAAAAUUCAGAUUUCCAAUAAAGGAGGCCUAUAGGUAGAUCCUUCCAUUUUCAAGUAAUCUUGACAAACUCACAAUGCAUGCAAUAAAAGAUAUGCUUGUUUUUCAACUUAGACGCAAACCUUUAUCAAGGGUAUAAGAGGAAGUUGAACAGAUGUUGGAUAACAGCCAGGAUUUGCAACUAGACGUGCACUUUGAAUUUCUCUCCUUGAAAUCUCAGUCAAGCCAUAGACUGCUUCUUUCUGCAUCAGUUGAAAAAAUUCAAUAUGGUGAGCUUACAUUGGCUACAAAGAGAUAUAAUAGGAAUACUAAAGGAAAAAUUCUCUCAUUUUCUCAUAUGAGACUCCAAAUUUUCUGGUUAUGACUCUUGGAUGUACACCUUCACAUAGCAUUUAUAUUCAUAUAUAUAUAUAUUUAUUUAUUUAUUUAUUCGUUCAAUGGGUGAUAUAACAUUAUAUAUAUGCAUCAAACAUGAAGUUCUUUUUUUCUUUUUCAUUUUUCUGGAAGAAUUAAGGAGGGAGAAAAGAAAUCAACUACUCUACCUGUAAAGCCGUUGCUUUGUGAGGCUGGCCAUACCAUUCCUCGUACUCAGCAAUAUCUUGCAAUCUGAAGUCCUACAUGACCAUCAUGAUGACAGCAAAUAUAGAAAAUGUAUGAGAUGCAGAGUAAAGAAACUAUUUUAAGUACAGUGGAAGUAUAAAGUCUGAACUGAAUGCCUACCGCAGAAAGAUCGACAAUUUUUAGAUUUGUUGGGAGACUUUUGAUAAUUUCCUGCACAGGGCAAGUAAUUAACAAAAAUAAAAACAUUAAUGCAAGGCUCCGAAUCUCCUUUAGAAAUUAUGAUAGACAAAGUGAAACCACUAUUCCUUCAAUAAUAUGCUGAUUGAUUUUGGGAAAUCCAAGAUGUGGAAUAGCUACAAACCUGAGUUGUACCAUGUGGUAAACAACAAAAAACGGCAUCCACAGCAGAGAAAUCUGCAUCUUUAACAGCGACUAGAUUUGGUAGAUCCUGUAUGGGAAUAAUAAAAUUAAUACUUCACGAGCUAAAUUGAAGUGCACAAUCCUUUCCCUCAGAAUGAAAAGAGCAGGAUUGAAAAUGAUCUUACAACAUUCUAAUAAAAGAGUUAGAUAUAGAAGAGACUCAAUCUCCUUCAUGAUACUUUCAUUUUGUCAGAAAGUCGAGCAAAAAAUAAAGAUAGCAAAACAUAUCCACAAGUAUUUAUCAAAUAAUAUCAUACUUUGGAAUCCUAUAUCAAACCAAUUCAAAAUUAAAGUCCAACAAGAAAGAAUACAAUCGUGCAAAUAUGAAGAUACAUACUUGUGUGACCAGGUGAGGGAAAACAGAUUCGAUUGAUUGGCCAGCUUUCCUGUCAGCCGUCAUCAAAGUAAUCUGAAAAUGUGGAUGAUUUCGCAGGAGUCUAAUAAUCUGCAACAAAUUUUAUACUUGUCAAGUGAUAAUAUAGAACCAAGGGAUGCGCAUGAUAUGGCUAACAAUAUGUGAAAACAAGAACACGAAGCAAAAUUACCCGAAAUGACAUGAUAUCACACUGCAGAAACAGAAGAUUAACUUAAUCGGAGAAAGGGUACAGAAAAGGGCCAUUAACGUUCUAGCCACAUUUAUUUUUUUAGCCAUAAUUAAAAUUAUAAUGGGAGGAAAUACUAUUCUCUUAUUCAUCUUCCAGAAUUUUUCAUCUCAUAUACAACGCAUAACUUCCAAUGCUGAAAAUAUCCUUAUUGAGUCAUGAAUUAGAAUAAUAAGUAUAUCCUUCCACUAUGUAAAAUCUCAAAAAAACGAUUUGACUAUCCAGACAAAUGUUUAGAAGAAAUGGAAGAUUCAUUUUCCAUAUUAGGAAGUAUUCAAACUCUCUUGUUUGUUUUAACAGAACACAACAAUCAGUAAUGUAGUAGCAAAGGUUAUUUCCAGUUGUACCUUAACCACAAACCUCUCAUGGGCCAAGUUCAGAACAACUGCAUCUGCAGAGUCUCAAACAAUGAUCCAGGUUCAUCACUAUUACCAAAAAUUGAAGUUUGUUGUUUAUUAAUAUUAUUUUUAUUUUUUGGGUUUACAUCUACACAUGUUUGUUGAGCUUAGUUUUAAAAGUAUUAGAGCAACUUUUUGAAUGCAUCUUAAAUUUGUUCUCAGAAGAAACAAUGAACCACUCGAAUUUUUAUUUUUAUUUUUUAAAAAUGCAACUAAAAUGAAACAAUGAAACGCUCCAAAAACUAAUUUUUAGUGCAAGAGCAUUAGACAUUUAUUAGACAUCAUCUGUCAAACAUAAUAACUGGAUUGCUGUCAAAAGAGUAUAACUUUAAAAUCUUAUUUUUAGGCUUAUUCUUUUCAAAGUUCACAGAACCAAAAGCAAAUCUUAUUUUAUUUUUAAAAAAAAAACAGAAAUUGAAUGUAAAGCUAAAGCUAAAGUGCGCCACUAGCAUCGACAAAGGGCUCGUACUCACCUCUGAACCAGUGUAGCCACUAGCACCUAGCACACCAAUACGCAAUUUUUCCAAUUUGUUAGCUUUACCAUCCGCAAACUGCAAGCUUUGCGCUGGUGAUGAUGACGCCAAGGAAGUAAUUCUAAUUCUGAGCUUACCAGCCUUAGAAACCUUCAGUUCGUCCUACAAAUCACUUGUCUAAUCAGAAAGAAAAAUUGUACGGUACAUUUCAUUUGAACUAUCUAAAUAUAGAUAUAGAGAAUUCAUAAAGCCUAAUUUUGGGUAAAAUAAUACAAAAGCGGGAUUCAAAAUUGAGACUUUGGAAUACAUACCUGGUACUUCCAAAGGCAACCUCCAUUGAAGAGGUUAGAACUGAGCGCAGCCAAAGAAGCCAUUGGAGAUUCAGAGUUUGAAGUGUGAAUUUUGCAAAAUGAGAAAGAGAAGAGUAAAGGGUAUUUUAGUUCAAUAUGAAGAACAGAGCAGAAUGAUCCGAUGGAUAUAUGGUUUGACCCGACUCCACCUACUCCUAUUUUACGCAAUGAUUUAUUGAAGCAAAUUUGAAAUAAAUUAUUAAAAUAAGUUUAAAUUUAUACAUGCAAAGUUACCAAUUAAAUUAUUAAGCAUGUACAUCUAAAUUAUUAAGCAUGUACAUCUACGGUCUACGUCAAGAAUUGGGGCCUUAUUGGCAUACAAUAGAUGCCCACUUAUUAUUUUUAUUACUUUUUUGAUGGUGGUGUAGGUUUGUAUUGGAAUCGGCAAAUAAAUCAUGUGGUAAAUUUAUGUUGGUGAAUUAAGUAUAUAAUAAAUCAACAUAUCUUUUAACUUAGCUUCAGUUGGAAUUUACAUCCUCUAACUUUGAAUGUGCACAAGUAAACACUAAAAUUGAACAAAUAGACACAUUCGUCCUACGUGACGUUCUAUAGAUGUGGGUGUUUGUUUGUUCAAUUUUAUAUUAGUUUAAAAGUCUACAUGUGAACGCCCAUAAUUGAAAUGUAUAAAUGUCAACUUAAAAUCAAAUUAAAGGGCAUAUUUAUGUAUUAUGCCUUCAUUUUAUUGUUCAAGUUCCAAGUAGUGUUUGUUAAAGAGAGAAUCCACCUUGCACCACUUGGUGUAGUGGAAUGUGGAAAUAUUACAAUACAUAUGGAAAAAAAGAGCAAAAAAAACUUUCAUUAGUUGAAUGAACUAAGAAAACUUGAAACUCCCGAAAAUAUAAAGACAAGUAUUGUCUAGGAUGGAUGGAGGUCAUAAUAUUGGUUUUAAUUGUUGGGAAUAAGUACUUUUAUUUGUCAACCUUCUUUAAAAGAUUUAAAAAAAAAAAAAUGAAUUUGGUUUAUGGCAAUGAAAAAGCAAAAGUUCUAACCGCAGACUCAACCAUAAUUUCAGUGCUGUAAACAUAAUCAAUUGUGACAAAAUUGUGAUUGUACAACAACAUAUGCCUUUGUAGACGUUAUACUGGUAAAUUUACAGAAUAAAGAAUUACACAUUGCACAAAUACUUUCAAUUAAAGAUAAUACAAAAUCAUGGAUUCACUAUUUACAGAUUUCCAUGAUUUGUGUACAGUGUAUAUAAAGUACAAAGGGAUAUAUGAACAAACUGCUAGCCAAAAACUAACACCAUGUACAGAUGAUAACUUACUCUUCCUCCUUAAGUUGGUAAAAGAAUCUUCACCGAUCAAAGACGGUUAGAGGGGAAGAUGAUCCUCUGUUUGAAAUAUGUCCAUUUUCAUUCGUUCUUAGAGGGGAGGAUUGUGGCAUGAACUCAGACAAUCGGAGCCGUUCGUUAGUCAUUUUGUUCUGUUGAAGAAGGAACUUGUUAGUGACUUAGCGUCGCUAGUUUGAUACAUUCAGUGUUCUGAGGUUUACGAUCAAGCAAAAUGAUUGAAAAUAAUAUGGAUAUCUGUUACCUUAAAUUUGGCAUCUUGUAGUUCUCUUUCCAGUGAAGUCAAUCUGUUUUUGAGCUGCUCAAGUGCUUCUUCAGCUGCUGAGAUCCCCAUCUCAGAUGUUGGUUUUGUUAAUCCAGCAGCCUGCAGUAUAAAUUUCAAAUGAUAAAAAAACCGACGCCAAAGAACUAGAGACUACAACCAACAUUUCCUUUGAUAUUAUAAUAAAUAAAAAAUGAAUAGUAAAUAAAAAAUGAAAUUUCCUUACCUUUAGCACAGUAGUGCACAGACCAAGUAACUUCUGCGCCAAUUGCAAUCUUUCCUCUUCCUUUUCCUGUUGGACAAAUUCCCAACUAUUUAAUUCCUAGAGACACACAAAAGAAUUCUCCUCUUCCUAACAUAAUUCAUGUCCACAAGUCACAUUGUGGAAUUCCUCCUAGGCACAUAAAAUGAUUAACAACUAAAACAUACAAACCUUCAACUUGUUCUCCAGCGUUUGCUCCUUGUCAAAAUUAAUGUAGGGGCUUCUUCCAUUAGUUUGACGGAAGUGAGCCAGCUCUUCCCUAACUCGAGAAAGAAUUGAUUCAGUUUUCCGCAGCUUUACUAUAAGGUCAUCAUUCUGAUUUUUCAGUAAAUUGUUCUCUUCCUGUGACACAGACCCAUGGUGGAUUAGUGCUGUAGCGAAAAAUACCAACUAACACUUUUAAGAUGUCAAUCUUCAGUCUGGAAAGUCUGGUAAAAAGGUACCAACCUUAAUUUUAGCAUGAUGGUGGAUGCGCUGUUGAAGGUUUUGCUGACCAGACAACUUCUUUAUGUCUGCUUCAAGUUCGAUGACCUUCUUCUUAUGAUUCAUGUUCUCCAUCUGAGAAAAUUUCCGGUGUAUAAGUGAUUUUUUAAUACAGUAACAACCUGCCGAGGUGUAAUAGAAAAAAGAGUUACUAACAUCUCUUACCUUUAUCAUUUCAUUUUCUGUUGUAAGCAAGUGAUUCCGCUGGCGCAGUUUUUCAAGUGCAAUCUGUGCAACCACCAUCUCUGCUUGUUUUCUCUCAAUUUCCUCAAUCCAUCUAAUUAUCAAUAAAAAACAAAUGAGAAACGCAACAACAACAAGAUGACUCUCGAAAUCUAAUUGACAAUUAAUACCCUUUCCGCUCCUCUAUAAACUCAUUUAGUUGUUGCCUCAGCUUACAAAACUCGUCCUCCUGCAAGCAAGCAGUUACUAAUAUUAGAUAAGUCCAGACUAUGUUGGUUAUAUCAUUAUAUCCUUACUAAGUUUACCUUGACCUCAGCAUCAACAUUACGGACUCGAGCCAUCUCCAUCAACAUUUUUAUUUGAGGAUUAUCCAGCAGAUUCUGGUGGGGUAACCCACAUAAGCCAAACAAAAACAUACGUGAAAUUGUCAGGUUCUAGAGAACAUAAAAAAGGAAAUGGCCUUUGGUAUUAACAUUCCCUCCUAACAAAAAAUAUAGGUUUAUUUAAAUUACCGCAUAGUUAUUCAUGUCCAGUUUCACACCCAAUAGAUCGCGCAUUACAUCAUGGGUCAUGCUAUCAGCAACAGCUAAUUUUGAGUUCAACAUGAAUAUCUGCGAUGAGUGUAUGAUCACAAUUGAGUAGAGGAAAUUUUACAAAAAUAAGUCAUUGUUUUAGGAUGUGAAUUACCUCUUUUUGUCUACUAGCAGCUAGAGCCUCAAGUUCUUGGAUGCGAUGUCUUUCUGCACUAUGCUCCUCAUCCCUCUCAGACAUCAAUUGCUGAACCAAGCCUAUGCCAAUACAUUUGAAAGGGGAACCAGAACCCCUAGGCUUUGAAGAAUUUUUUUCCAAUUUGCUUGAUGAUAAAGCUGGAGCUUGGGUGGUGGCAUGGGGAUCCAUCUUCACUUUCUGUGCCAAUGCUUCUAAUGCCUUAAACUGUUUUGCAUUUUGAUAUUAGGUUAAACCCACAGAUUAGCAACCAACACCAACUCUAUCAAAAUCAAUAGAAGGAAUGAGAAAUCACCUUUUCCUUAUACUCGCUAGCCUGUGCCUCAGCAUGCAAAUUUAGUUCUGAUAUAUGAGCCUUGAAGUGGGCUAGCUGUUAAAGAAAAUGAAAUAAGUUAAUCUAACAAGUUAAUGAAAUUGAACGUCAACUGGCUGACUGAGCUUAAAGAACAAAAAAUUAUAGUGAAGAUACAGAGGACCAAACUCACUUCAGCAUCUCUAGAGAUGAUUUCUCCCUCAAGAAGUUGUAUGCGCUGACAAGCUUCUUGAAGACUCUUUCCUUUUUCCUCUUGAUGCCUGUAUACAUAGAUAUCAAAACAUUUAGAAACCUAAAUGAGUCCUAUUUUUGAGAUUUCAGGUUGCAUGGUAUAGUUGUCAGAAACCUUCUCAUGUCAGCAUCACUGCCUUUUACAUUGUUCAUGUGUUGCUUGAUGGCAUGAAGUUCCAGUUCCAGCUCCUCUCUUUGUAACCGCUGUCGCUCAGCCUCUCCUCUGACAAAUUCAACCUAUAAAGUGGGAAAUCAUGUUAUUAAAUGAUAAAUAAAUCGAUAAGUACAUUUAGCUUUGCAAGAAUGAGUACCUCAUUUUCUAGUACAUUCACUGUGCAUUCCAGUUCCUCAACAGACCUCUCUAACAAUUUAACCUCCUCUUCUUUCUCAACAGCCUGGAGUUUUGCUAUAUCGGCCACCUGACAUGAAUAGAAUAUUGUUGUAAGAAAAAGGGGAGUGAGAAAAAGAAAACAAAAAGAAGGAAAACAUUAGAGAUCAAUACUGAAGAAAGUAGUUUAAAACACAAUUCCACCUCUUUCGCUUCUAUGGCAAUUGCUUCAUUUUCCUCCGCAAGAGUUUGUGUUGUCUCUAGUUUCUUUUUCAACAUGAGAAUUUCUCCAUGGAGGUCUUCCUUCUCACUAGUAACACCACUGAGAUUUCUCUUCAAGCAUUCAAUUGAGUUGCUCAUUUCGCCAACGAUAUCACCAAAGUUGGUAAUUUCUAUCUCUAAGUUCUCACAGACUUCCCUUUUCUCUAACAAUUCCUCCUCGAUGGAACAUUUUUCUUCCAUGGUGUCCUUGGCACUGGCAGCCAGCUCCGAGUUUGUGUGUGAAAGCAAUUCUAUGUCCUUGCACUUUUGAGAGAUAUCUGACUCCAAAAUUGCUGUCUUACUUAUCUUUUCCUGCAACUGAACUUCAAGCGCUUGACCUUUGCAAACAGCUUCAUCAAGCUCAUUUUCCAAAGAAUUUAUAGAAGCCAUCAGAUCAUCAAUUUCAUCUUUUUGAUCCUUGUGGUUAGAUGCCGAUUCUUGUAACAAACUAAGGUCAAAUAGCAUUCCUUUGAUGAUGUCAUCCUUCCGUACUAACUCAGUUUGCAGGGAAGCACUUUGUAUUAAUAUCUCUUCAGCAGAAUUCUCCAAUGAUUCAAACUCUUCAAAAAACUUGGAUGCCCUUUCAAGUUCUUCAUGUAUGUUUUGUAACAUGGCAUCUAAUCCAGCACUUUUAUUUUGUAAAGCAUUAAGCGCUCUACUCCCAACGCUGUCUACUUUGAGCAUCAUAUCAAAAGUGUCAUUGUUACCCUUCUCACAAGAUGUGAGUUGGAUUCUCAAGAAAGUAUUCUCUGCUGCCAAAACAUUGAUUCUCUCGAUCUCUUCUUUCUUUACCUCCAACUCUGAGAAAAUUUGGCAACGUUCUCCUUUUAACUCUGCUAUUUCAUGCUGCAGUUCUUCAAUCACCUUUUUUAGACAAUUCAUUUUCUUAAUUUCUGCUUCUUUCAUUUCCAUAUCUUUCUGGAGUCUGCAUGAUGCUGCUUCCAGCAAGCAAGUUUCAUUCUGCAACAUCUGAUUUUGUUGGUCAAGGACAAAGAUGCGACUUGAAGAACUUUCAAGGGCUGAGUCCUUCUUUUGCAAUUCUUCAAGCAACUUCUCAUUUUUAGAGCUAAGUUCCUGGACCUGGGUUGUCAGAACAAUCUUUCCUUCCUUUAAUUCACCAAGUUCAUGCUUUAAUGUCUCAUUCAAACAAGAAGCUUCCAUCAGUGAGCACACAUCUUUCUCAAGAGCAUUUUUUCUGGAGUGAACUUUGGCAAUCAUGGAAUCCAUUACACUAAGUUCAGCCAACAAAUUCUGCUGCUUCCUUCCUGCUUCUGCAACUUCCUCUUGUAGAUUAGAAACAUCAACCUCCUUGUCAUGUAAGAUGGAUGCGGUUAAUGCAACAUCUAGAUUGUCAAAAAUUAUUUUUCUCUUCAAACCUUCGGCAACUUCAUAGAAGUGCUUAUUUUUUCUCUCCAACUCAGAUAUUAAUAUGGUCCUCUCUUCUAACUCAGAUGACAAAAUUAAUGACUCAAAGUCUUUUGCAGAAAACUCCAUAGUCAAACUAUCUUCCAGAGACUUCACGGCUUCCUCUUUUUCCUUCAGCACCCUUUCUUGAUCUACAAGAGAUGCCAAGACAGUUUUGUUGCUGAGAUCUAUCUCUUUCAUUAACUCAACAAGCUCAGAUCCCAUUUGCUCGGACCUUGCUAACAUUGACUCUUCCUGGAACUGCAAAUCAAAUAUUUUUUUCUCGAAAGAGCCAAGUUUGGAAGUAAGAUCCCCUGCAUCAGACUCUUUCCUUAAUACACGAUCAAAGUUGUUUUUAAUGUCGGCCAAUAAUUUCCCCUUCAGAGUUCUGCACAUUUCAAGCUCCUUCUGUGCUUUGAAGUUCUGCUCCUUCAACUUAGAUAUUAAUGAGUUUGAUUCACUUAGCCCAUGAUUGAGUAGCCCAUUUUCUACAUUCAAUCCGGUUGCAGCUUCUAAGAGAAUGCCCAUGUGACAAAGAUGCAAGACAGACAGAGCACAGUCCUUGACAAUAAUAUCAGACCAGAUCUCCUCAAGCCAUGACUUCAUGUACUUAGUUGAUGCAUGAAGUUGAGACUUUAUGAUAAGGACAUCAGAUGUUACAGACUUGAGCUCAUCUGUGGAAGUGGUUGCUGCCUGUGAAACUAUAUCCUCUAGCUCCAACACCAGCCUUUGCAUCAUUGCUAGAUCUGACUCAAACUCAUUUUCCAGUCUUUGGUAAUGCAUGUCCUUUAGAUCAUUAGCCAACUGCAAGCUUUGAUUUUCAUUAACAAGGAUGUCUCUCUUUUCAGUUAAGCUGAUCUCCUUCUUCUUACGCCUUUUGAUGUCAAGCUUUAAGGAUUCAUUUGCUAUCAUUAGCUCAUUUAUCAUGAUGUCUGCUUCUUUCAUGGUGUCUUGAACCUCUUCAAAUUUGGCUAGAAUGCAGGAAGCUUCAGUAGAUUUCUGGGCCGCCACUGCCUUAGCAUCACAAAGUUCAGCUUCAAGUAGCUGCAGACAAGAAUUUCGAGAGAGCAGAUCAGACUGAGACCGUGUUAUUGAUUCUAUCAUACUUAAUUUAGUGGUUAGGAACUUGUCCUUUAAAUUGAAUUCUAAUCUUAUAUUUUAGAACGCAUUAUUUAAUCCGUCAAGAUGAUUGUUCUCAAGGAUUAUAAAAUUGUAAUGAACAGUCAAAAAGAAGGAUUUCAGUAUUGAAAGUCAUGAGCAGUAAUAUAUGAUGUGUUUCUAGUGAUAUGGGCCUACCUUUUUUUGCUCAUACCAGGAGCUGGAGGACUCCAGCACAGCACCUUCAAUUGUUCGUAAUUUAUUGUCUACUAACUCCACUUUAACUACAAGUUCCUGUUCAAACUUAUCCAUAUAGGUCUGUAGAGAAGUUGCUGCAGCCAGAAAAUCUCCAAUGCUCUCUUUACUCUUUUGCUCAGAUGACCACAGGGCUUCUUUCUCAACAUGUAAUCUGGCCAUUUCAGCUUGCACUCCUUUUAAGCAAUCAAGAGCAGAUUCCAUUUCUUUCCUUAGUAGAAUAACUGUAGCAUCUAUGUUCUUAUCCUUCCAAUUUAUUUGAAAAGUAUCCUGCUUGCUAGCUGAUCCAAGCAUAUUAUUACUUUUGUCGAAGGAACAGUCUGGUUUUUCAGCUGUCCUAUCUUGAAGAAUAAAUGACUCUAGGUGCUGGCUGUGUUGUCUUGUCUCACUACCUGUCUGCAACAAUACGUUAAAGUUGGAUUACAUAAUAAUAAAAUCCAUCACGAAGAAUCUACCAUUCCACUUAAAAAACAGAUACUAUAAGAUAUGAGUUACUUUCAAACAUAACGGCACAUAACUUACCAAUGUUUCAAACUUGUCAUCACUAGAAAAAGAAGCAUGAGUUUCAUUGCUUAUAUCUUUUCCAUGACUUCCACUUCUUUCCACACACUCACUGAGGUGCGAACGUACUGUUGAAACACCUGCUUUCAGCUCUGUAAGUUUCUCAAUCGUUUUCAACAUAUCAUUUUCAUCCAGCUUUUGUCUUUGCUCCUCAAACAGCUGAAGUCUCAGAUCACUGCAUGUCUUUUCCAGAGUAUGUAGCUUCGUUCUCAGAGACUCAUUUUGAUUCUCUGCAGCGGCAACUACUGAAGCUUGAUCCCAGAGAAUAGCAUCCUUUUGUCUGCUUGUUUCUAGAGAUUCCAUAAGUUGCAUGUCCUUCUGGUUUAACGCAUCAACACAGUUAGAAUUCUGUUCCGACAACCAGUUAACUACCAAGAAAGCGACUGUUGCACUGCUUGACACCUUUCUGAGUUGAUCCUCCCCAUGCUUAAUCUUGUUCUCAAGUUCUGAGAUGACAUGUGCCUUUGAGCUUAACUGGGAUGUCAAAGAAAAUAGCUCAGCAUCUUUUUCAUGGCAAUCUAACUGGUGAGCCUCCGUCAUAACUAAAGCUGCCCCUCUAAGAGAUCUCAGCAUGGACUCCAUAUCAUUUCUUCUGUUGAGAGCAUUCUCCAGACUCUGGUUGAGCUCUUCAAUAAAUAACUCCUUUUCAACAAUGUAUUUUGUCAUUCUGCCAAAUUGUUCAGAUAUCCUGCUUCUCUUAUCUGGAAAUGUACUGGAAAUAAAAUCCAGUUGCUCACAGGCAUCUUUGAGAGCCUCAUGCCCCCCACAUACAAUAGCUUCAAUCUCGUUGUUUACCUGCUCCCAUUCUUCAGACAUAUUUAUUAACUCUUUUUCUUUGUCAUAUACACUUUCACCAAGUUUUAGAUUUUCUUCUGUCAUCAGAGAUAAUUUUGCCUCCAAAUUUUUAACUUCAGUUUCCAGCUCAGCUAACCUCUUUCUGCUCUCCAUCUCUUUCAAGCUGCUAUUUUCAACUUCCUGCUGAAGAAGGAGGAGUUCUUCCUGCAAGCAUACAAUCACUUCAGCAGUUUCUGCCUCAGCCUGCCUGCUUAUUUCAUCCAUCGCUUCCUCAUUUGACACAUGAAAUUCAGAGUCAUUUUGGUAACGCCGAUUCAACAUUUUGGCCUUCUCAAGGGAGUCAUGCAUCUUUUUAAGCUUUGCUUGCAAAGGAGAAUCAUCACUUUCCAAGAGCUUAGAUGAUGAGAGAUCUCUCGAUCCUUGAUGAAACAUUUUCUCCUUCAAGGAAGAGAUUUCAAGCUCCAGUUUCCGCACUACUUCAGCAUAACGACUGUUACUGUUUCUUAGAUCGUCUACCUCAGUGAUUGCUAAGAGAUGUUGGGAUUCAAGAGCUUCAAUAAUGGAUUUGGCUUCCCCAAGUUCUGCGUGAACAUCUUCACAUUUCUGGGUCACUAACAGAAGCUGUUCUUUUGAUGAGUCUCGGUCUUGCAUCAUGGAUUGAGCAUGUUGCUGCAAUUCAUUGUGAUGCAACCUUUCUUCUUGAAUUAUAACCUUCAGAAUGUCCAACUCAAGUUGCAAAUCCAUAAUUUCCUCUAUGUGCUCCAUCAUUUCUUCUUUCCUCGUAUCUUCCUUCUCAUUCUCAGCAGAAGUUUCUGAUUUGCCAUUAAGAGCCAGAGCUUCUGAUGUUGACUCCUGAAAAAUCUUUCACAUCAAGAACAUGAACAAAGUAGAGUUUUUGCAAACAAAAAACUAAACCGUACAAAGAAUAUUCGGUGGGAUUCUAUACAAGCAAUAUGAAUGGUCAAGAAUCAUGAGAAAAAAGUACAAACUCAGGCUGAUUAUGCUCUAAUAUCUUGUGUAUUUGUUUUGGCAACUUAUGUCAACAGCUUUAAUAACUGAAAAUUAGGUUACCCAAAAACUUUUGUGGUCUGAGCUAUGAGCUACUUCAACACAAGUUUUUUUUUUUUUUGAUAACCGAGAAAUCCGUCUGUGACCCGCCCUUUGGACCAAUCACAGCCUUCUAAACUCGGUGGAUAAUGAGCCCGCCUCUACCCUUCUCCACUUAAAUACCGGGCUUCGCUUUGCAUGGUGUGGGGCUUGAACCUGCGACCUAAGCCACAAAUCCUCCACCUUUUGCCACUCGAGCUAAGCCUUGGGGGGGCUCUUCAACACAAGUUUAUUCUGUUAUUUUGUGGCAAUACUUUGCACUAGACGAAUUGGGAAAUAUUCUUAUUUAAGAUACAUUACCAAAGUCCGGAAAAGCAUCAGUUAAAUUCAAAUACCCAAAGCAACUCCCUCAAUCAUGAUAAAGGUGUCGUGUUCUCCCUUAUCUUUCUUCCUCUUCUCUUAUUUUCAGUUAUAUAAUGACAAAAACAUGCUUGUUCAGAAGGAGAAUUACCUUUAUGACUUCAACCCCGCCUUCGCGAUCAUUGUCAGCAGAACUGAUGCUAUUUAAUGAACCUCGUAGUUCAUCUAUUUCCCUGAAGAGGAUUGAGAGCAAGUUAGAGGAAACUAAUAGUAGCAGCAGUUAUAAUUUCAAUAUGUUAAACGUCAAGAAAGUCUGUAUAACCACAGUUGAAAAGGGUCACUAACCUGCUGAGUUUUUCAUUUUUCUCUAAACAACAGUUUAGGUUAGUCUGGCAUUCCUCCAACUCAUAUAAAGUCUUUUUUAACUGAAACAUUAAAAUACAUAUGAGACCAAGUUUAUUCAAUUUCUUCAAGUUAAGGGGGGGUCACCAGAGACCAACCUCUAAAUGUAGUGUAGUUUGUUCGUCGCAAACAUGUUCAGGCUCCUGCACCAUGCAAAAGAUGCUUGAACAUAAGAAGGCUUGAAUUUGUAUCUUUAAAGCAGCUGAAAGAGGAAAGAACACACCGUACAAGCUGUUUUAAACAUUACCUGAGAUGGAAUAUUCAUGUCCAAAUGGAUGUGCUGCUUCAAGUUCCCAUCAAUAUUGUUAAGUAGCUGUACACAUAUAUUGUCUUGACAUCAUACUCUUAUACAAGUCAAAGAGCUAGAAAAGACAAAAGGCACAGAAUUUACCUGAUCCCGCAAGUUAGAAACCUCAUUCAACAGAAUUUCUCUCUCUCCUUCUUCAUAAAAAUCUUGAAAUCUACAAGCUCAGUAGAACGAAAAAUUGUUGAAGAAUAAAAAGUAAACGAGCUUCAAUAUUUAGGUUAUUGGAUAUGUAUGUACAACAUUCUACCUCCGCAGUUCUUCUAAAAGCCUAAUGUUUUCACAUGCAAAUCGAGUUACUUCUGGAUUUCUAUCAACCUUAGCAUGAAGCAGCUGGAUUUCUUCAGUAAGUGCACUGUUUUCCUCCAAUAAAUAACUAUCUGCUGGAAUUAGUCCAUUGACAAGUGACUCCAUCCUUUGAAUUCUCUCUUCUCUGAACUUUAGCAUCAUCUUGGUGCACCGAUUAUCUUCCUCCCUUUGACGAACCUAAGAAACAAACAUGCAGGAUAACCGUGUAUGGAAGUUAGUAUCUUAUUGAAAAUGUCAAACCUAAACAAAGAAAUGGGAUAGAAGGCAAGAAAGUGCGAAGAGGGUCACCAGACGGUUAAGCUGCUCAAUUUCAGCUUCAAGUUGUUUGAUAGAAGUUUCAGCCAUCUGCUCUCUCCUUAAAGAACCAGCUAGUGUGGUCUCUAGUGAUUUGAACUGAAAAAUAAAAAAAUAAAAGCAAGAGGAAUCAUUGCACAGCAGAGUAGAUAAGCAUUUGGAUGAAGAAAGUGAGAUCAGAUUCUUUAGCCAUGAAGAUGUAUGAAUGUAAGAACACCAGAUCUCCUAGAUGAAAAAAAGUGAAGUCUGAUUUUUACCCAUGAAGAUGCAAGAAUGUAAGAACACCAGAUAGAGAUGCAAUAAUCAGAGUGAACCAAGCUGGGGCAAGCAACAAAGCAGAGUCUGCUGGUGCUAAGAUACUAUGAGAUGUAACUGCGUAAUGAAGGUUUUGAAUAAAAUCAGAAAGAAGAAAAAAACAAAUAUUGUUCAGCAUAGUUCCUUUCUUCCUGUAUUCAGCAUACAAAUAUAGUUCUUUUCUUCCUGUUCUUAUACUUGUCAAUUAAUCUUAAUCGACUAGUCCGAAUCAGUUGGUGUGGUUAUAUGAAUUCUCUAGUCCAUUCUGCUUAAUUCGAGUACACUUCAUACUGACAUUGAGUAAACUUUCCUUUUAGAUAGAACUGAGUUAUCUGACCACACUUAUCCUACACACUGUGCGUUAACUAGUUUCUUCCUAACUAGUUGGUAUCGCCUAUAUGGAACCUUUACUUCAAUUGUGUUUUCUAUUCUCCUAACUAAGUUUCAUUGUUUUUGAGAGAUCUUAAGUCUAAUGAAGCAACUUUCCUCUAUGUGAUUUUUAGGUACAACUCAUCCUGUUUUAUCACCCUCAAUCAUCAUAUUGUCACACCCAUGAACUGAUGUAUUUAAGAUGUCUAUGUAGGACAAUGGACAUGACAGAAGUAUUUCAAGCUGCCUCCCAUUUUUCUCCUCCAUGUGUGCUACUUGCACCCUCUUUCAGAUAUGAUCAAUUUCUAUUAUUAUCUAAUUUUGUAUGACUGCAUAUUUAUCUUAACAUAUGCAGUUUACGACAUUCAUCUUUACUAUAAUAUAAUAUCAAUGGUCCCACAACUGUUCCAUAUAUCUUUUAUUUACCUUGUUAGGUAUCUUUCUAUCACAUAACACAUUGUAACAAUCUUUUAUUCAGUCAUUUUAUUCUAUUUGUAUAUGUUACAUCUUCAUCUAUCAUGCUAUUCUCCUAGAAGACUUCUGAGUUGUAGGUAUUUAGGCACUAAAUCUGCUACCUCCCACUAGCACAAGUACCGGAUGAUUGUGUCCACUAAGGCUUGGAUAAAUGAGAAGAAAUCAUCUAAUGUUUCUGCCUUCGCUGAUAUUUGAACCUAAGAUCUCAUGGUUCUCAACCCCACUUCAUUGACUUCCCUUGAGUGCUUAUGUUGUAGUAACACAAUCGUGCAACUUUAGACCUUGAUUAAUGUAAAAUGGAACUGAAUUAAACACAGUUGUAUUCUUCAGUGUUUGUACAUCAGAAGGUGCUGUAGCGCCAUCUGGAAUGAUUACUUGAAAGCUUAUUGAAAGUGUUGAGUCAUACUUUUGACUUGCAAACUUUCUUUGUGAAAGAAAAAAGAAUAUAUGAGAUAAGCAAUGUAAAUAAAAGAAGCCCAAAAACAAUAUGAUAUACCUGUUUAGAGGAUAACCUUAUAAUGCCCUUGGCCUCCUUUGCUAUCAAACUACCAUGCUGAUCUGUCUCGAGUGCCUUUUCAUCAUUACUGCUGUCAUCUUCCAGUCUAGAGUCUCCUGAAAUAGUUGUUUGACCAAAUGAUAAAGCUCUAGAUAUAUUCUGACGUUUCAAAGACGAAAGCUCCUCCUGUUUCAAAAAUUCCACCAAUCUUUUCCAUCAGUUUUAAGUUCACACCAACUUCUACAUUGCAUAGUAAAUAUUUAAAGAGGCUUUCUACCUUUAGAAGUCUUAUCUCAUGUUUAAGAGCAGAGACAUCUGCUGAAGAAUCUUCAUUGACGACAGCCUUCAUAUUGCAAAAGGAGAAAAGGAACAAAGUUAAAAUAUUGAGGCUGAAUGAUGGCCACUUUGUCAUCAGCGAAGUUAUAUGCUUACAUUGUUCUGAAUAAGUUUUGCCCGUUGAGCAAACUUUAACGUAUUCAGUGUUUCAGCUGCACAGCUGAGGAUAAAAAAAUCAGCGUAGUUGAAUAAUUUUUCACCAAAACUAGUCAGCAUAAGAUUAAGAAAGUUUAAAAUAACACCAACCAGAUAGAAGGGCUGACGUUUGAUAUAAUCAUUGUUUUUGAGUUUCCACCCAGUGAAUCCUGCAUUUUAUACUGUAAGAAGGACGCUGAUAUACUCGAAAUUUAAAAACUGGGUAGAAAAAUGUGUUUUAAAGUUCACCUGAAGUAGAAAUGUCAACUUUGAAUCCCUAUAAGGAACAUGCCUUGGCCUUCCAUUGGCAACAUCAACCAGAACCAUUAUUACAUGACUGCAGAAUGAAAUGCUCUGUCAAGUGAAUGUGAAAGGCCAGGAGAUGAAGCAAGAGUUAUCAGGGAAAAUCAUCAAGGAAAAAUACCCUAGAGUUGAUAAAGAUCUGUUAAUGCUUGCAGCUUCUUUCAAGCGUUCACCCUCAGCACCAGAAGCUUUUUGCCUGUAAUAGGUAAUGGCCACAUAAAUGAUGUGUCUGAAAUUUUUUUGUAGUUUUUUCUUUCCUGAGUAAACAUAACAUAUUUGCUCUUAUCAAUCAAAGAAUUACCUUUCUGAACCAGCAAGGUCAACAAGAUUAAGCCUUGAAAAACGGAAGUUAUCAGCAGAGUUCUUUUCCCACCUACUCUCAAUUAUACAGGUAAAGACACUGUGUGAGCGACUGCUCUCUCUGUUCAUGUUUGUUGCUGCAACUUUCCUGUUUAAAGAACCCUGAACAGAUAUUGAACUUUAUUCAAACUCAUGAGAAUAUUUUUAUGCCACUUACAAAACUUGCCUCAUGUGUGUGCUCUGCAAAGUGUAAGAUAUUAAUGAAGAAACUCAGUAUCUACAGAUAUUGUUACCUGAGUCAAGAGCUUAAGAAUGUCACCCACAGUCUGGACUUCAAAUUCGGACAGAUUUUCAACAUAAACACCUUUUGUGAUAUCCUCUCGCAACUAUAAGAGAAAAAUAUGAGUGUGAACCAACAGCAGUAAGUUGCAUCUAAUUUUAGGUCAAGUUCAGACACGGGAUAGACAAAUUACCAUUAAAUUUGAGGAUGAAGGUUCAAGGAGAUCAGUGAUUUGUUCAUUAUAAAUCUCUAGAAAAGAACAUUUGCAGCUGUAUUGUAGUCUCUCAUCCCUUCGACUUUCCUCUUCCUGAAAAAUAAAGAUCAAAAGUGACUUCACCUACAAUUCCUAGAUUAGAAGUUGUAUUAGGAACAAAAAGCAACAAAACAUCCUACUUACUGCUCUGAUCCUAGCAAACAAGAAUUCAAAUAUGCGCGGCGUCAUUCCUCGGUUGGGGCUCGGCCUGAUUUCCAGUUCUUCAAUCUCACCAAGCAUUGUAUGUGUCUUCCCACUACCAGUCUGCAAGAAGAUAUCCGAAUGUGCUACUAUUUUUUAGUCAAACUUGGCAAUUAAAAACUUGUGACUGGAAAAGAAUCAAGAAUAGGUGUCACUGAUUUGAGAACUAGAAAGAUAUGUGGACAGUUAUCAUAAAUACAUAGUGCUCAGUUGCCUUAGCAUCCAAACGUUGCAGAUUAUUUCAAAAAAGAAUUGCAUUUAGAGUAAGGAUGACCCUCUAAACUUUAGACGUCUCAGGGAAGCUUUUUUUAUUAUUAAAGGAGUUGGCGGAUAUCUCGAAAUUCAAUUGAUCAAGCAAAUCACAGUUUUCAGUAUUUGCAGAGAAAAAUUAUCUACAAGAUUUGCAUAGACAAUGAAAACUUAAUGAACCUUUUACAGUAAACAAUAAGUUUUUUUCCAUCAACAAACUUUGUUUAAGCAUGUGGUGUGACAACUUUUAACAUUAGUAGUGCACAAGUUUAGAAGCAGUCACACCAAUAGCUUUUCACCAAAUAUCAUGCCUAACCUGUCCAUAUGCAAAGAUGGAGCUAUUAUAUCCAGAUAAACAGUUCUCCACCAUCGGUAAACCGACCAUUCUAAAAAGUGUUUCCUGCACAAUGAAAUUGCAUAAUUUUCAGUAUCUUGUAGGACCACACAUAGUCCAACCAGAAAUGAUCAUAUUGCUCCAAGUUAAACGCUAAUUACACAGACCUGAUUGAUUGUUUCACAUGCCACGUGAUCAAAUGUGAACCGAGUUUCAGGCUGCCCUAUCCAAGUGACACAUUGUGCACUUUCCUGCUUCAAGCAUCUAGUGUACCCUUGAGUAUUUCUCUCCAUGCUGUUGAGAGGACGCACUCGUAUCAAAACCUGUGGUAAUUCAAUGUAGUUUAGUACUUGAUCACCAAAGGAUCGGUUAACACAAUAAUCACCAAAUAAAGGUCCACCUACCUGUACAUUGUGCUCCAACCAGAAUGAUGGAUUUUCCUUGAGGUCAAAAUGAGGAAUUUCAACUGUAUCAAGAACAGUCGGUGAAUUACCACUGAUUGGAAUUCCCCUAUACAAUGCUGUGUAAUUAGCCGUCCGGGAAGCUCCACUCGCUAAAGGCCUAGAACUACUGGCUAAAGAAAAUGAAGGAUUUGGAGGCUUUGUUACACUUUUAGAUGGUGUGUUUUGAUUAGAAUGACUCUCCGAAUAGUUAGAAUUUGCCCUCCCUAUCGUCCUAGUGGACCGUGGAGUAGCAUUGACAGCUACUAUCCUUGAUUGAUUCCCACAAGUACCUGCAUCCAUCUUUCCUUCAUCCCCCAUUUCCACAGAAUUCGAGCUGGAACCCGCUUUCUGCACCCAUCCAUAUCGACCUUUUGGAAGACUUACCGGUUUUUCUGGAGUUCUAUUAAUGUCGGAAUAUCUACUAGUCUUAGGUUUAGUGGGGGUCUUAUCAAUUUUAGUAACCCUAACACCCCCUUGUUGAUCUACUCCGCCUUUCAAAUUCCUGGUGGUUUCUUGAAUUGCGUUUAAAGGAGGCCUUGUUGAGUCUGUACUAGCCGGAGGACCCAUUGAAUCCCUCGGAUUCACCGGUACAUUCUCAAUUUCCUCCGGUUGGGUAUUAUUCUUACCACUGUUCCGUCGCAAGAAUUUGAAAUCCCUCAACAUUCUGUGUAUCAACAAAACGAUUCAAGAUACAACAAAAACACAUACAAUGUAAUUCCAUACAAAUCUUUAAACAAAACUCAAGAAAAGAAACAAAUGGGGGUUAGUACCUGAAAGAAGUGUUGAAGAAGAGAAUACCAAGUCCUCUAUAUGUUGAAAUUGUAAGUUACUUUCUUGAGCUGAACUAGGAAUUCAAGAAUCUUGAUUUUGAAACAUCAAAUCUUGAAAUGGAAAAUCAUUCUCGAGUAGAGAAUUUCUCUCUCUAGAUUUUUGGAGAGUGAAGACUGUUGAGUUGUUGAAUCAAGAUUUUCAAAUUAUGAAUCUGCAGGGGACAGAGAUGGACGGUUAUGAUUUAAUCAACGUUUGAAAUGGCGCAUUGGGUUUUGAAAUAGAGAGAGGGGUUUAUUCGGGAAAUUAAAGGAAUAGGAGGGGGAAAUUUUGAAAUAAAUUAUAGUCCUACUAAUGAUUCCUAACGGCUACAAUUUAAAUUUUUGCCAUAGAGUGGGGCCUUCGUUUUUUCAAAUUUAUUCUUUUUUGCCCUUCUUUUUUUCUUUAUUACCUUUUGUUCCACACUUUUUUGAGUUUUUACUCUAAUCAAGAAUGAUUGGGGUGCCAAGAUUAACCCAAUUUGAAUGGUGCACAAUGUUAUUAUGCACCUUUUUGUUACACAAAAAUAUGAAUUCGAAUUUAUAGACCAAAAAAUAUAAGAUUUGUGUCUACUACACAACUAAAGUUAUUAGUGUGGAGUACGUAGUACAAAUUCUCAUUUAUAGUAUUUUUAUUGGGAAACAAUUUAAAUAUAUUUUUGAACUAUUAAAAUGAAUCAGUUUUAUUCUUCGUUAUGUUUUUUGCUUGAUCAAACAAACUAAAGUCAUGAUCUUUUUUUUCUUCUUUUUUUUUUAACAAAAGUCAUGAUCAAGCAUAACUUAUAACAAUAUAUAUAGUAUGAUACUAGGGGUCGUUUGGUUGGGAACAAGUUAUUCCAUGAUAAGUUUUCUUGGGAUAACUUAUCCCACCAUGUAUAUGGGAUAACUUAUCUCAUCACUAUGAUAUAAAUGGUGAGAUAAGUUAUCCCAAACAUGGCAACCAAGCAAGAUUAAAAAAAAUUAUCCCAUCAGUAUUAUUUUUAAUCCCUCACACCAAACGACCCUAAAACAUAAAUUUAUGACCCACAAGAAAAUUAUUUACUAUAAGGGGAUAAGUUAUGUUGGGAUUAUUUUUUACACCAAAUGCCCUUCGUUUGGUUUGAAAAUGAGUUAUGAUGGGAUAAGUUAUGUUGGGAUAAGUUAUGUUGGGAUUAGUUAUGAUGGGAUAAGUUGUGUUGGGAUUAUUUUUUAUUGAGUGUUUGGUUUGUUAUAUUCAAAAUAAUAAAUUUAAGAACAAUUUAUUUAUUUACAAAAAUGCCCUUCAUUAAGGUAAAAAGUGAUACAACAAAAGGGUUGAAAGAGACAUUUUUGUCAUUUACCUAUUUUAUCCAGGGAUAAGUUAUCCCGGGAUUACUAUACCACCCAAGGAGAGGGAUAACUUAUCCCGGUACUAAUUAUUAAUCCCGGGAUAAGUUAUCCCGAACUUGCCAACCAAACAACAAAAUAAGCGGUACUAUAAUUUAAUCCCGGGACUAUUUGGUAUUAUCCCUUACACCAAACGAGUCCUAAGGGUAUAAAUUAAAAACCAACACAACAUAGGACAAAAAUGUAAAUGAUCCCUUUAAGAAAGAGUUAUAUUGGAUGAUUAAAAAUCAGCCCAAUAUGAAAUUACCUUGCACCAAAUUCAUAAGAUUUUGGGCGAAUUGGGAGAACAUCAUGUUUUGAAUCAUAUUUGACGUCCCUAAGGGUAGAACUCAUAUCACCAAAAAAUAGUUCUUUUUCCUUCUUCUCAAAUCUUUAUUUUCAAAUCAUUUUGAACAAUAAUAGUAGGAGAAAAUAUUAUUACUUUCUUUAAGAAAGGUAUUCUCAAAAACUUCUUUUUUUCAAACUAUAUGAUUUCACAUGCAUUACUAUUAGUAACACAAAAAUUAUAACACUUAUUGUUAGCAUAAGCGAUUAACAUACAACCAAAAGUCUUAUAAUCUUCUUCUUCUUCUUUUUCCUUUCACGAUUAAGUAUUAUAAUUUAUAACAAUAACAAGAUAUUUCCAUACUUUCAAAUAUUUCAAAUAUAAAAGGAAUAAUCUCUAAUCUUCUCUACUCAUCAAAAGAAUAAAAACAAGUAUAAAUAGAUGAGGAGAACUCAAAUCAAAAUAGAAAAUCAAGGAGAGGUUUUCUUGCUAAGGUUAUUAAAAGGAUUAAUAGCAAAUAAUGGGCUUGUUACAAAGGGAUUAAAGGAAAUAAUUGGCGUAAAUACCUAAAAGUGAUCCUAUACAUAACUUAUUCUUUGAGAUAAUUAAAUAUUUUUUUCAACAUUUUUUUAAAAAUUAAUAAAUAUGCAUACCUAGACCUUAUAAUAACCUUUGGUUUUUGCAAGUAGAGUGCAUCAUGCCUCUUAUUAUAUAUUUCGUUUAUAGAAGAUUAUCAUUGAGUGAUUGAGUUAGCUAGAGCUAAGUGGACAAGCAUACUAAUUAAUCUCUACCUAAUCGGAGUUUUUAUAAAAUCGAAUACAUGCAUGUUUGAUCUCGAGAAUCUUUUUAAAUUAAAAUUUCAAUAAUUUACAUGUUAUCAAUUUCAAAACUUUUACUAACACAUGUAACUGUUUAUUUAUAAAAUUAAUUUUAAUAUUUAAAUGUGCUCAUGAUCCACAUAUAAUAUUUAUUAAUCACUUAUACUCAUCGUUAAAAUAUAACUUCAUUUAUUGAGACUGUUAAAUUAGGUCCACACAUUUCAUGAAUCACCAAUAUGGGACCUUUGUGCUUUAACACCCCACCUCACCUCACGCCCAGUGCGUAGCAUCUGGUGCGUGGGCAAUUUUUGACCCAUCUCACGCCCAGUGCAUAGCAGUUGGUGCGUGGGCAAUUUUGGGCAAGUCCAGUGCUUAGCAUCUGAUGCAUGGGCAGUUUUUGAUUUUUUUGGGCCCCAACAUUAGGUGAGAUGGGUCAUUGCUCUGAUAGCAUAUUAAAUUAGGUCUUAGGUCUAACUCACACCCCAAAAACUAGUUCAAAGGGAGGAAAAUUGCGCAAGCUUUAUAAGGAGUCUACUCACCUCAUUAACCACCUGAAACUUUUUUGCUUUAACAGAGACUCCUUGUUUUAAUAUUUUUUAUUUUUUUUAAGAUGUGGGCAGUGUAUAGAAAAAGGGGAAGGGGAAGUGCUUUGUUAGAUUUAAAUCUUCAACAUUCGAUAGAAGAUGAAGUUAUAACAAUCACUAGUACUCUACAAAUUUAGAUCACCUUUUACAUUUUUAUUCAAAUUAUUUAAUUAGUUUGAUCUAGGAUUCUUGCGAUCUCGUAUAAUUAUAAAACUCAAUUAGUAGAUGUCUUAGUUCUGGAUUACUUUUCAAAUGACCAUAUAAUUAGAACGUUAAAGGAAAUAAUAACUUGCAGUAAAAUCAUGAGAAUGCCUCAAAUUUCAUUUUAUUUUUAAACUUAAUUUCUGAAAUAGUCAACAAACUUGAACUAUGACGUCAAACAUUUUAAACUUUGAGUUUAUUAAUAUUUUGCUGUCUGAUACUAUUUUUUUUUUUAAUGAUCUGGACAAUUUUGAUUUUUAAAAAAUUGCUACAGCUACUAUUAUAGUAUUUAUAUUCAUAGGCUAGAAAAUCAAGAAGUAAUACUUAAAUUACGUUGUACAAGAAACAUGAUGCGUUUUAGUUGGAAUUUUAUGAUUAAAAUAAAUAGAACUCCAUUACUAAUUAUUCAAACCUCUAUACUGGUGGACAAGUCAUUAGGCAAGUUUGUGAGCUAUAAAAUGCCUGUUUGAUCCAACUUUAUUAUCUCUAUAUACUACUUUUAGCCAACUUAACUCCACAAACCAUAAUAAUUAAGGUAAAAAUCCAAUUUUUUAGCUCUUUCUUUUCAUUCCAAAAUUUUGUAUACAACUUCAAUUCUAUUUUAUUUUUGUAUAGUUUGGUGGUGAGACAACAAUGGCAAAUAACAUUAAUGUUGCAUCUUUUGUGCUAGUUCAUACGGGAGGCCAUGGAGCCUGGUGCUGGUACAAGAUUGUCGAAUUGAUGAAAUCUUCAGGACAUAAUGUCACAGCUCUUGAUUUGGGUGCUUCAGGAAACAACCCAAAACAGGCCCUCGAUAUUCCAAGUUUUUCUGAUUAUUUGAGUCCGCUAAUGGAGUUCAUGGCUUCACUUCCUCCUGAUAAAAAUGUAGUUCUUGUAGGCCAUAGCCUGAGAUAAUAUCUCAUAUAGUCAUUCAACUUUGAAUAGCUCACUUAGAAACUCACUCAACUUUGGAUUGUUUACUUAGAAAGUCACUCAACUUUGUUUUUUAACUCAAAAGUUACUCAACUAUUGAUGUUUCACUUAAAAAGUCACUCAACUAUUUAUAUUUCACAUAGAAAGUCACUUAAUCAAUUUAAAUAAUCUUUUCAUUAAAUUUUCUAAAAAUACAAAAAAUAAGAUGCUUAUUUUAAUUAUUGUUUUUUUUACUACCUUUUCAUUAAAAAUAUAGUAGAAGAUCGUUACUGCCUCUUUUUUUUAAUUACUUCUUAUCAAUUCUAAUUUUUCUUUUUGGUAAUCUUUUAACAAUUUAUUUCUUUUAUUAUUUCCUUAAAAAUAGUUUAAGAUAAAAUUUAAUUAAAAAAAUAUUUAAAUUGAUUGAGUGACUUUUUAAGUGAAAUAUAAAUAGUUGGGUGACUUUCUAAGUGAAACAUCAAUAGUUGAAUGAUUUUUGAGUUAAAAAACAAAGUUGAGUGACUUUCUAAGUAAACAACUUAAAGUUGAGUAACUUUUUAAGUAAACAACUCAAAGUUAAGUGACCAUCUGAGAUAUGCCUUGGUGGACUCGCCAUUUCUAAAGCUAUGGAAAACUUUCCAGAAAAGAUUUUAGCUGCUGUAUUUGUCACUGCUCUAAUGCCUGGUCCAACUCUCAAUGUAACCGAAGUCUACAAUGAGGUAUCAAUUUUAGUUCUGAGAUGAUUCUGUUACGAUUUGUUUUUGCUUUUACAUGUUUAAAACUAAAUAUACUUUUGUUAUAGUCCUGCAGUGCAGUACUACCUGAACUUGAUAAUCGCGUUACAUAUGACAAUGGACCUACCAAUCCUCCAACCACCCUCAUCUUAGGUCCCAAGUAUUUGGCAACUAAUGUUUACCAAUUGAGGUAAGCAAAUCACAAUAUUGUAUCAAAUCACAAAUUAAAUCUAUUCAAGUGCUUAUUUGCAACAUCAACGUAACUUGUAAUUGAUUUAAAUCAGUUUGUUUAUUUCUUUUUUGGUGUUAGGAUUGGACGAUGGCUACUAAACUAGUGAGGUCACUAUAUUUAUAUCGUGCUGAAGAUGUUUCUAAGGAGGUAGUUCUUGUUGGGUUUUAAAGGUGUGAACAGGAAAUGAAGGGUUGUGACUCUCCUGAAGAGUUGUGACUAUGCCGAAGGGUUGUGAACUUUAUGAAAGGUUGUGUCCUUUCUAAAGGAUUGUGACCGUUUGAAAGGUUAUGCCUUUUCCCAAGUGUUGUGACCUUUCUGAAAGGUUGUCUUCUUUCCAAAGGGUUGUGACCUUUACCCUUGUUGGCUAUAAAUAGAGAGGUUUUCUCUCAUUUUUCUGCAUCGAAUUCUUCCCUUCUUUUGCAUACAUUUCUUACAAAACAAAAUCGAUCGAUCGUGUCUGUGUGUGUGAUUCGUUGCUGUCANNNNNNNNNNNNNNNNNNNNNNNNNNNNNNNNNNNNNNNNNNNNNNNNNNNNNNNNNNNNNNNNNNNNNNNNNNNNNNNNNNNNNNNNNNNNNNNNNNNNNNNNNNNNNNNNNNNNNNNNNNNNNNNNNNNNNNNNNNNNNNNNNNNNNNNNNNNNNNNNNNNNNNNNNNNNNNNNNNNNNNNNNNNNNNNNNNNNNNNNNNNNNNNNNNNNNNNNNNNNNNNNNNNNNNNNNNNNNNNNNNNNNNNNNNNNNNNNNNNNNNNNNNNNNNNNNNNNNNNNNNNNNNNNNNNNNNNNNNNNNNNNNNNNNNNNNNNNNNNNNNNNNNNNNNNNNNNNNNNNUGCCUUUUCCAAAGUGUUGUGACCUUUCUGAAAGGUUGUCUUCUUUCCAAAGGGUUGUGACCUUUACCCUUUGUUGGCUAUAAAUAGAGAGGUUUUCUCUCAUUUUUCUGCAUCAAAUUCUUCCCUUCUUUUGCAUAUAUUUCUUACAAAACAAAAUCGAUCGAUCGUGUUUGUGUGUGUGAUUCGUUGUUGUCAUUUUGAGUUCGUUGAAAUUAUCGAAGUUUGAGGUACCGCUACUUCUUUAAUGGUUAAUCCGUUUUAUCUUGGGAGGAAUUAAUCUGCAACCUCGGAUACUUGAGGGGAUUAAAUUUUUAAGGACACACAGUGGGUUCUGUGGACUCGGAUAGUUCUUUGUGUUUUUCUUUUUAUCUUUUAUUAUUUCUGGUUUGUUAAUCUGAAUACAUGAGAUAACAGUUCUUUCAAGGGAAAGGUAUGGAUCAGUUAGGCGAAUAUUCAUUGUUGCUGCUGAAAAUAAAUCUUUAAAGAAAGAACUUCAAUAUUGAAUGAUUGAAAAUAAUCCACCUGAUGAAGUGGAAGAGAUCGAGGGCUCUGAUCAUGCAGUCAUGAUGGCUAAGGCCCAACAGCUUUUUACUAUCCUUUUGCGCAUUGCCAACAAGUGAUGACUCUGCAAAUUUUGUAUCACCUUUUACAUUUUUAUUUAGGCUACUCUUGGCUAUCAUUCGUUUUCUUAUACUAAAUUAAUCUGAUCUAAGAUUCUGACUCAUGAUUUUCAUUAAGAGGAUUCAAAUAAAGAAAUGUAGUACCUUGGAUUUGAAUUUAGAAACUCAUGAAUCAUGAUAUUGGCUUCUUUUAUGAUACGUACGAUCUGAUUUAAAGAACUUGAUAUUUAUAUACUACUAUAUUCAUAGGCUACAAAAAAAUAUCCCUUUUUUUUUCAAUAAAUAAAUACUACUUAUAUUGGCCUAGGCGAUAUUCUUUUUAAAGAAAAGAACGACAAAUUAAAGAAUUCUUUAUCUAAAUUUGGACAAAAGGAGUUAGGACCAUCUAAUUUCCUGACAAAGUUGAUGAGCUAUAUAUAAGAUGCCUCCUAAUCCAAUAUUCAUUCUUCUAUCAUCUCUUUUGGCAAAUUUAGAGCACUCCACAGUCCACAGGACAUCACAAUCAGGUAAAUAUCCAAUCAUUUAUCUCUUUCUUUUCCAAGAUUUUGUACAAACUUGUCACAACUUCACUUUUUUUUUGUAUAGGUUAGUGGUGAGACAAUACAAUGACAACAUUAUUUGCAGCAACAGUAAAUUCAGCAGCCAAUAUUGUAGGUACAAAGAUGUCAUCCAAGAUCAAAAGAAACAAAAUGAAGUACAACAUUAGUGGAUUCAACUCAUUUAGAGAUCAAAAGGCAACUAACCAUGUUGCCUCAUUAAGCCUCCCUUUGUCCACUGCAAACAUUGUUAGCUCAUCACAACCCAAAGGUGGAGCUUUGUCCUCUACCUACAAUGCACGUUGCUUUUUAGAUUUUCAAAUCAUGCAUUUAGAGUAAAUAAAAUGCUCAAACAUUGUCAACAAGUUGAUAUCCCAAAUACAUCAAAAAAUACAUGUCCAAACAUAUUUGUCAAUUCCCCUUCAGUACUCACAAUUUGGCUACAAGCUUACCAUAAUCGACAAUUAAAUAGUUCUAAUACUUAUGUUUCCAUAUGCAGAUGCUAUCCUGUCAGGGCCAAAUAACUUUGUGCUAGUUCAUACGGGAUGUCAUGGAGCCUGGUCAUGGUACAAGAUUGUAGAAUUGAUGACAUCUUCAGGGCAUAAUGUUACAGCUAUUGACUUGGGUGCUUCAGGAAACAACCCAAAACAGGCCCUGGAAAUUCCAAGUUUUUUUGAUUACUUGAGUCCACUGAUGGAGUUCAUGGCUUCACUUCCUGCUCAUAAAAAAGUAGUUCUUGUAGGCCAUAGCCUUGGUGGACUUGCCAUCUCUAAAGCCAUGGAAACAUUCCCCGAAAAGAUUUCAUCUGCUGUAUUUGUCACUGCUCUAAUGCCUGGUCCAACUCUCAAUGCAAGCAUCGUCUACACUCAGGUACCAAUUUUCCACAUUGUAUUUAAAUUCUUAAUUACAUGUUUGAAACUAAAUAUACUUCGUUAUAGUCAUGUAGUGCAGUACUACCUGAACUUGAUAAUCGCGUUGCAUACGACAAUGGACCUACGAGUCCUCCAACCACCCUCAUCCUAGGUUCGAAGUUCUUGGCAAGUAAUCUUUACCAGUUGAGUCCAAUUAAGGUACGUAACCAAAUCAUAACACAUAUUUAAGUGCUUAAUUGUAACAUCAACUUGAAAUUGAUUUAAAUCAGGAUUGGACGAUGGCGACUAAACUAGUAAGGCCACUAUAUUUAUAUCAUGCUGAAGAUGUUUCUAAGGAGAUAUAUAGUUCUUUCAAGGAAAAGGUAUGGAUCAAUUAGGCGAGUGUUCAUUGUUGCUACUGAAAGUAAAGCUUUUAACAAAGAAUUUCAACGAUGGAUGAUUGAAAAUAAUCCUCCUAAUGAAGUGGAAGAGAUCACAGGCUCUGAUCACAUGAUCAUGAUGUCUAAGCCUCAACAACUUUUUACUACCCUUCUGCGCAUAGCCAACAAGUAACAACUCACAUAUUUGAUGCAUUUUCAUGGCAAUCUCAGUGAAGUUCUGUUGUUAUUUCUUCAUUUUCUUUCCGUUGUAAUUUUCUUUCAUUGUAAUUUCAGUGUUUGAAAUUGACAUCGACAUCUAUUUUCUUUCUUCUGAUUCGUCCAACUGUUCAAUAUAUAAAAAGCUUCCUUUUUACGAAACAACACAAAUUUUUUAAAUCAAAUAGUCCAUUUCAUAAAAUUAGUCAGUAUCAAACGAAAAUAACUUCAAGUUGAACAGUAAUUUCCUAGGAUAAUGAAGAUCAAGUUACUCAUCAAACUCUUCUAAAAAUUUAUACUUGCGAAAAAAAAACCCCGACUAUAAUUGAGUUGGUUUGGUUUUAACUAAAAAAAAUCAAUCCGAGACCAAACCAACCCGACAUUAUAUAUAUAAUUUUAAAAUUUUAUUUUAUACAUAAAAAUAUUUACUUUGAUAUAUUUUUUAAAUAUUUCUUAUACUUUUUCAUAGUUUUUAUCUUUUAAUAUAUUAUUUCAAGUUUGAAACUUAGANNNNNNNNNNNNNNNNNNNNNNNNNNNNNNNNNNNNNNNNNNNNNNNNNNNNNNNNNNNNNNNNNNNNNNNNNNNNNNNNCAAUAAAGAUUAUAGUCCACAUAUGUUGGUAAUUAUAAUAAAGCUUAAAUCAAAAUCAAAUUAAUACUAAUGCAAAAAGAAAAUCAAUUCAACACUAAGAAUGACAAUAAUAUUGAAUAUUUGUUCUUUGGUUUUACAUUGGUUUAGACAAUUAAAGUACAUAAUCUAAUUUGAAUUUCCUUUAAUAUUUAGUCAUGUAACUAAUACUUAUUAAACUUAUUUUAGCAUGAUUUAGUACUUUUAAAUUAUGAUCAUUUUCAUUAUGACUUGUUAAUUUGCAAUAUUUGUUUUACGCGAUUUCAUUAUUAUUAUUUUAUUUUUUUUGGAUAUUUUAGUGUCAUUAAUCAUAUCAUUGUUUGUGUUGUAUUCUUAAGAAACACCUUAAAUAGUUGUAUUUUGGUAGGACUAAAGAAAUAUUUAAAGUACAAGUAAAUUAUACGUUUGUAUGAAUACUUUGGCGGAAAAACCUGAAAACCCAAAAAAAUCUGAGGUUGAAAAACCCGAGUUUUAUUGGUUGAUUUGGUUUAUAGAUUUAAAAAUUCGACACAAAUAAUUUGGUUUGAUAAUUGAAAAACCCGAACCAACCCGACUAUAUACACCCCUACACAAAUGUAUGGUGUUUAUUAAUCGGAAAGGGAACUGUCAUGAAUCAUGUGAUUUUUCUUCAGAGUUAAUAAUUGGAACUACACAUAAUAUAAUAUUCUCUAUGCCUUUUUUUUACUAAUAAUUUGAGUGAUAAAUACAACAUAACUAGUAUUGGGAAAAUGAAACUAGGCCCUAAGCUUAAGUGUUUAGAUGAUCACAAUGAAAGUUGGGGUGUUUAACUAUUAGUCGAGCUAAGUUUAAGUGUUUAUCUAUAUAUUUUUUAAAUAUAAAUAUACAUAACAUACAUUUUGUACAUAUUUUAUAAAUUAGUUGGUCAAAGAUAUGCUUAAUACCGUUAUUAUCUCUUUAAUUUUUAGAUAACAUUUUCCAAGUUCGACUUCAAAUAUUUUAUCAUUGCGUAUAGAUUUGAAUUGUCGGAGAUUUUAUGAAAAAUCUCAUUGCUUGAUACGUAUUAGGAACACUAUCUUUAAAAAUAUUUCACGAGUAAAAAAAAUGAAUCCCAGCGAAUUAAACGACUAACUGCAUACAAAUAAGGAACAAGAGGCGAUUAUUUGAUGUAGGUACAUACGAAAUUGUUGGAAAAAAAAUAAAGAUCAGAAAACAUGCAGAUCACAUGGUUGUCUAUAGGUAAGGAUUUUAAAACGCAGAGAGGAGGCAGAGUAAAAUUUUAGAGAGAUAAUUACUUCACACUAAUCAAUACAUUUAAUUUUGUCAUCUUCAUUAUAGAGCAUGGGUCUGACUCUGAUAAUUAUGCUAAGGUCUUUUAAGGUUAAAGUUGCCCUUUCAUGGUUUUGUUCCCAUUUUUCUAAUGGAUUUUCUCCAUAAGAUCUUUGUAAAUUUUCUUUAAUCUUUUCUAGAUUAAGACACUUACAAGUAAUUUUUCUUAGAUUUUCUAAGUAUUUUCUUUUGAAAUUACCAUUAUCUUUUUCAAGAUUAUAAGGAUUUUGUUUUCUUGGGACUUUAAUAAAAUGUCCGCUUACAUACUAACCAUAGUUAUGAUGCAAUAAUAUUUGCAAUACAUGAAACGAAAAUGUAUAGAAUACAAGAAUAUUUAGAAUAUAAAAAUGCUCUAUCUAUCUUAAAAAAUUAUAGAGUAUUCACUGCAUAAUUAUCCGCAACCCUGUUUUGAAACAGAAUCAAAUCUGUUUAUGCUUCCAAGCUCUUUUUCUUAUGCUAUGCAAAGAUUUUUGAACAAAUUUCAUUUUUAUGCUACUAGCAUGAAUGUAAACAAAAAUAGCAUGGAUAAAAUCUUAUGAUUCUUUUAUUCCCUAUAGGUACUAAGUAUUUCUUUCUAUGUCUAAGUAUGUAUAUAAUCUGAUAUAGUAUGACUUUUUAUAUAUAAAAUUUACGUGUUUGAUAAAUAUUUAAAGUAUUUAUAACUUGAUAUUAGUCAAAAGUUAUAAGUUGGGCAUUCCUAUGUAAUUUAAGAAUUUUCAAAUUAUAAACACUUUGGCUUGACCAAGGCUUUUAUUAUUUUAUUUUAAAUAUUUUUUCUUAUUCUCAAAAUAUCUUUUUCGAUUCCAAAUCAGAAAUAUAACAAAGAGGUUAUUUAUGAGUAUCGAUGUCAAUUUCAAUAUUUGAAAUUGCCAUCAAAGAAAAUAACAACGGAAAGAAAAUAUUUAAGGGUGUGUUUGAUAUGGAUGAAAACAUUUUCUGAAAAAUGUUUUCCAAUUUUUUCAUGUUUGGUUGGCUUAAAUGUUUGGAAAAUGUUUUUCAAAUCAACUCAUUUUCCUCAAAUUUAAGGAAAAUGACUUCCCUUCCAAAAUUAAGGAAAACAUUUUCUAAAACUCUACUUUAUCCUUUAAUUUUUUUUCUCACCCUAUACAUACCCGGUACCCGACCCUCCCCAUUAAAAAAAAUUAAUUUUUUUUAAUUUUCUUAUUUUUAAAAUUUCAAAUAUAUUUUUAUCCCUACUUCCAACCCCCUCCCCCCCUCCUCAAACAAAAUAAAGUAAAAAUUUAAAAAUUAUUUUUGAAAAGUGUUUCAAAUUUUAAGAUUUUUUUUACCUCACCCAACUCCUACCAAAAUAUUUCAAAUUUUAAAUUUUCAUUUUUUAUGCCACCCCCUCUCCCCGGCCAUUUUUAAGAAUUUUUUUUUGAGAAAUAUUUCAAAUUUAAAAAAAUUUCAUCUUUUUCACUAACCUCACCCCUAUCCCCCCCCCCAACCCAGGCCACCCCAUCAAAAAAAAAUUAAAAGUCAAUUUUUUUUUUCAUUGUCUUUGAAAUUGUUUUCCUAGGUCAGGUCCUGGGUCAAAUCUCAGGGUCGGAUUUUGGAACGGUCAUCGGGAUCUUAUCCUAGUUUGGGUGUUAGGGUCGGGUCCUAGAUUAAUUAUCGGGGUUAAUUUUUGGAUCAGAAAUUAUUUUUCUAAAGAGUAUUUUUUAGUCUAAAGCCAAAAAUAAAGAUAUUUUUUGAAAAAUAUUUUUCAUUUACCAAUCAAACAUUAAAAAAAAUUCCAGAAAAUAUUUUCUACUUACCAACCAAACAUGAAAAAAUAAGUUAGAAAUUCAUUUAUUUUUCAAGAAAAUAUUUUCUAGAAAAACAUUUUCCACGAAAAAAUGUUUUCGUACCUACCAAACACACCCUAAAUAUCAAUUCCAAAGACCAAAAAUGUUUGAUCACAUCUUUGAAGCGCAGCAGUGAGUCAGAUAGUAAGGGGUAAUGGAUCUGUUCACGUGGAUGACUUAUUAAAAAUUCUUUUUUAAGUAAAACAAAGGACAAACUAUAUAAUUCUUUAUCUAAAUUUGUAUAAAAGGAACAUGGUCUGUUUUAGAUUCCAUUUGGAUGGUCUUAAAAAUUAGUCAAAUUUAUUUUAAAAUCUUUGAAAAUAUUUGAUAAGAUUUAAAAUGAGUUUAGAAUAACUUGAAAAAAACGUUUAAAAGGAAAAGUAGGUUUUUUCUUAUUUUUUAUUUAUUUAUUUGAUUUUAAAGCUUUUUUUUAAAAAAAAUCAAUCCAAAUGAGCUCUGGCAAGAAAAUUAGUCAAUUUAUUUUUAAAUCAUUUUUAGUUUUUGAAAAUAUUUGAUAAGAUUUAAAAUGAGUUUAGAAUAACUUGAAAAAACGUUUAAAAUGAAAAGUAGGUUUUUUCUUUAUUUUUUUUUUAUUUUUUAUUUUUAAAGCUAUUUUUUAAAAAUCAAUCCAAAUGAGCUCGGGCAAGUUGAUGAGCUAUGAUAAGAUGCCUCAUUAUAUUAUCCAAGAUUAGAGCACUCCACAAGCCAUCACAAUUAGGUAAAAAUGUUCUUUCUUUCUUUUCCAAUAAACUUGUAACUUCAAUGAUUUAUUUAUUUUGUAUAGGUUGGUGGUGAGGCAACAAUGACAACAUUUUCAGCAGCAAUAGUAAGUCCAUCAGCCAUUAUAGGCACAGGAAGAAAAUCUUUCUACAAAAGAGCCAAAGUGACGAACAAAAUUAGUGGAUUGAACUUAUUUGGAAGUGAAAAGGCAAAUAAGCAUGUUGCCUCAUUAAGCCUCACUAUGUGCUCACUGAAAACCCCAUCACUAGGUGCAAAAAGCUUGUCACAACCCAAAGCUAAGAAGCACUUUGUGCUACUUCAUACGGGAUGUCAUGGAGCCUGGUGUUGGUAUAAGAUUGUAGAAUUGAUGAAAUCUUCAGGGCAUAAUGUUACAGCUCUUGACUUGGGUGCUUCAGGAACCAACUCCAAACAGGCCCUCGAAAUCACAACUUUUUCUGAUUAUUUGAGUCCGCUAAUGAAGUUCAUGGCUUCACUUCCUGCACAUGAAAAAAUAGUUCUGGUAGGCCAUAGCUUUGCUGGACUCGGCAUCUCUAAAGCCAUGGAAAAUUUUCCAGAAAACAUUUCAGUUGCUGUAUUUAUCGCUGCUUUAAUGCCUGGUCCAACUUUCAAUGUAACUACAGUCUACACUAAGGUAUUGCACUCGUUUUACUUGUCAUUUUUUAACAAAUAAAAAUAAUAAUUAUUAUAAUCUCAAUUUAUUUAGAAAGUUACUCCCUUUAUAAAAAAUGAAAAGUAAUUUGAUUCGACAUGAAAUUUAAGAAAGAAAUACACUUUUUUUUGUUAUAGACAUGUAGUGCAAUAAUACCUGAACUUGAUAAUCACGUUACAUACGACAAUGGACCUGGGAAUCCUCCAACCACACUCAUCCUAGGUCCCAAGUUCAUGGAAACUAAUCUUUACCAGCUGAGCCCAAUUAAGGUAAGCAGAUUAAUAUUACAAAUUUAUUAAUCAAGUACUUGAUCGUAAUAAUAACUUGGAAUUGAUAUAAACUAAGUUUUUUGCCUUGUUGAUGUUAGGAUUUGAAGCUGGCUACUAAAUUAGUAAGACCGCUAUAUUUAUAUCCUGUGGAAAAUAUUUAUGAGGAGAUAGUUCUUUCAAGAAAAAGGUACGGAUCAGUUAAGCGGGUAUUCAUUAUUGUUGCUGAAAGUAAAGCUCUGAACAAAGAAUUUCAACAUUGGAUGAUUGAAAAUAAUCCACCUGAUGAAGUGGAAGAGAUUUUAGGCUCUGAUCACAUGGUCAUGAUGUCUAAGCCUCAACAACUUUUUACUACUCUUCUCCAUAUUGCCAAUUCACAUGCCUGAUUUUAGUCCUAGUUAAUUUGAUAAUUCAAUCAUUUUAUUUUCGUUGUUAUUUCCUUUUAUUGUAGUUUCAGUGUUUGAAAUUGACAUUAAUAAAUAAUCUUGUUGCCUUGCUUCUGAUAAUUUCCAAUUAUUAGGCGAUUCGUAUCCAUACAAAUAUUUUGCGAUUUUUUUUUUUUAUAAAACAAUAGCAACUUCUUUCAAUCAUACAAGUAGUUCAUAUCAUAAAAUCAACUAAAAUCAUAAGGGAAAUCAUUUCAAAUAAAUUCAAACUUUGAAACUUUUGAGGUUAUAAUCCAAGAAUUUAUCUAUUUGAGAAGCUAAAAUUUAAAAUAAUAUAAAUUUUACUUGUAUCUCAGAGUGGCAUUUUCCCGCUUUUUACUUCAUAAUUCAUGGCAAAAGUAUUUUAUUUUAUUUUAAAAAAAAACUUUAAGAAAUAGAGCCACAAGGAUCCUAGAUCAAAUUAAAAAAUAGUUUUUUUUAUUUGUCUUGAACAUCCUGGCUAGGUGCAAAUUAAAGGAUGAAGCAUUACUCAUAUUAUUACAUUAAGAAGACUCAAGGGAUCAGAUUAGGCAAAGAUUAACUUAAACUAAUGCCAACAUGUGUUUAAACUUAAAAUCUCAGAUUAGGCAAAGAUUAAUUAUGCUUGUCAGUCAGCUAAUUCAAUUCAAUCAAUGAGAAUCUUCUAUAUACUAUACUAAUUCAAUUAGGGGUGUUCACGGGUUGGUUUGGAUCGGUUAUUAGGUAAAAUCAAAACUUAACCAACUUAAUCGGUUUUAAAAUUAUCAAAAUCAAACCAAACCAAUUAUAAUAUAUAUUUAUCGGUUUGGUGGUUAUCGGUUUCAGUUUGGUUUGAUUUGGUUUGGUUAUUCGGUUAUUAAUCAUACACAAAAAUAAAAGAAACAAUUUAUUCAAAAUGUGAAAAAAGUGACAACAAUCCAUUCAAAACGAAAAAUAGUUAGAAUGACUGACAUUACUGAACUUUCUAUCACUGAAUUUACAUGAAUACAACUUUAAAAUUCACUAUUUUGUCCUAGAAAGAAGAUACAGUAACAUUUUCAAUCCCACAAAAAGAAUUGUCAUAGACACUCAUAUACAUGAAAUCAAUAACAUAAAUGUUUUCACCUUAGGCCUUUUUGCUUUCAAUAAGUAAAUUUUAAUUAUUUUUUUGAUGAAAACAUAUAUAAGAUCUUUAAAAUUGUUUAUAGAAAUAAUAUAUUAAGUAUGUAUAUCAAUAAAAAUAUUAUGUAUAUAAUUUAUAGGUUUAGUUCGGUUAUUUCUUCGAUUUUUUCGAAUAAAAUCAUAACCAAACCUAAUACUGUCGAUUUUUAAAAAUCUAAAACCAAACAAAAUCAAAUCUAAAUAAAAUUGGUUUAUUUUAUCGUUUUAAUUCGAUUUGAAUCGAUUUUUAACCAAACCGUGGACACACCUAAAUCCAAUGAUAUCAGGGAAGAAUAUGCACUUUAGUUUCAACGAUUAGAAUUAGUGGUUUUUUUAUACGGGGUCUAAAUAGAUACUCCCUCUUUCCCUAAUUACUUGUCUACUUUUGAAUUGACACACCUAUUAAAAAGUAAUUAUUGACAUAGUGAGUUUACCAUUUUUACCCCUAUUAAUUAUGAAGAGAUAAAUUAAAAACUUGAGAUUUUCAAGAAGUUCUAUCUUUUUUCAAAGUAAUUAAUUGAGGGUAUAAUAGGUAAAAAUAUUUUGUCCUUUCUUGAUUUGUCAAAAAUGGACAAGUAAUAAGGGACAACUAAAAAAGAAAAAGUGGACAAAUAAUUAGGAACAAGGGAGUAUAUGAUAAAUUACUAAAAUUCUAAUAAAUAUCAAAUGUUGAACCUAUAAUGCAAAAAUCAAUCAUGACCGAAAAAAACAUAAAAGAUUAAACUCAUGAAAUGUAAAUCCUGACCUACCACAACAUAUGGUAUUUCAUUGUCCUAAACCACAUACUAUUUAACAAUCAAUUUCAUUUUAUUCAAUAUAUAGACAGUAGACCUAACAUUGAUGAGUAAACGGCUAAUUUUUAUAAUUAAAAAAACAUGAGGUUUAUUAUUUUUUUUUUUGUCUUUCUGAUAUUACGUACGUUGGUUUAAUUGUUAUAAUAAUAAUAAUUAAAAAUAAAGUAGAAAAGGGUCCUUGACACUCCUCCUAUGUUAUUUGAGAGAGAAAUAUUUAAAAAAAUUUAAAAAACAACGGUUGUUCUAUGAUCUACAAAUCAUGAACGUAUCAUAUAUAUAUUUUGUAAUAAAUUUUUAAAAGAUUACUUGCUUAUAUUGUAAAUAAAUUGAAAUUCUAAUUUUGAAAAUAAUUUAUUAAUAAAAUGAUGAAUCAAUUUUUUUAAUUCUGUUAUCGUUUUUUUUUAAUCCGAUCUAAUAAAAUGAUGAAAUUUUUAUAUCUUCAAAUUGGGUGAUAAAAUAAAAUAGAAAAUGACAUGGAUUUUAUCUCCAAAAUAGAAAUAGAAAAUUACAAAGGUUUUAGUUUCCUCCAAAAACAAAAAGUAAGAUGAAUAUAGAAAAUAUUAACAUAAAAUAAAAAAUUUGAGCACAAUUUUCUUACGUGUCUUUAAGGAAAUUAAUUCCCUCGCUAUUGUUGGAGAUUUUGGAUCAAUUAAUUUCACCAACGAUAGAACAAAAUAAGCUAUUUGUAAUAGCGGCAAUUCAAAUUAAAAAACUUUAGUGAACUCAACGUAUAGAAUAAAUCACGAGACUUAACUAAAUUUUAUGUUUUUUUUAAAACAAAUGCAGAUAACAGUUAGAGGGGAGAAAGAAUCCAAAUUUCGGUGCUUCAGUGUAUCUUUGAAUUUAUUUAUAGACAAUAAAAAGAAUAAGAUGAAGAGGUAUAAUCUAAAAGGUGUUUUUAAGUGCAAUUCAAAAGUAUUUUUUCUUAUUUUUCAUUUUUUACCUUAAAAUUCCAACAAUCGACACUAUAUCCAUAGAGGUUGCAUGGUUGGUAAGGUAAAAAUAAUAAUUUCAGAAUAAAAUGAAAAAAAAUUAUUCUAUAUUUGGUUAUAAGUAUUAAUUAAUUUUGAAUUUAUUUUAUCUCACUAUUUAUAUUAUAAAAUGAUGAAAUUAAUUAUUUCACGUAAAAAAAAUAAGAUUGAAACUCAUAAAAUAUAAUUUUAUUUAUCUCAUCUCACAGAUCAAACAACAAGAAAACUCGAAACAUCCAAAUGUGCUCAUAUGUAACUUUUAGACCAUUUAAAAAUGAUUUUGAGUUAGUCGGAAUUAAAAGAUUUCAUUAACUACUAAAGCUUCUUCAAAUAUUCAUUGAUAUACACUAUUUAUACGAUAUCAAUACAUUAUAUAUACAUAAUAUAUUCUAUUAUGAGAAAAGGGUCUGAUAUACCCCUCAACUUUGUCAUUUGGAGUUGAUAUGCCCCUCGUUAUAAAAGUGGUUCAUAUAUACCCUUACCGUUAUACAAACGGCUCACAUAUACCCCUACCGUUACAAAAUGAGCUCACAUAUACCCUUCAUUUAACGGAAGUGAAAAAAUUAGGGGUAUAUAUGAUUCUUCUAGCAAAGUUCAAGGUAUAUAUAUUUUUUUUUCAUACAUAAAUUAUUUUUUGACUUCUUUGAUUAUCAUUAUUUGAGUUUCUUAUUCUGAUUUUAUUUUUUCUUUCAUUCCUUAUUGUAAAGAGAAAAAAAUUAAAACUAUUUUUUUGUGGUUAUAUUAUAAUUUAAAACUAUUUUUUUUGUCUAUAUUGUAAUUUAAUUUUUGUAUUUGAAGAAAAAAAUUGGUCAUCUAUAAUAAGUUUUACAAGAACAUUAGUGAAAUAUAAAUAAAUUUGACUAUCAAAAUAAUAAAUCUAAAUUAGUCAUUGAAACAAAAAAAAGUCAAAAAAAUAUGUUUGAGGAGGAUUAAAUAUACCCAUAUGGGAUUAUAUUUCUUUAAAAAAAAAAAAAAAAAAAAUUAAACUAAAAUUAAUUUUUUUCCAUUUCCGUUAGAGAAAAAGGGUAUAUGUGAGCCAUUUGUAUAUAAGUAGGGGUAUAUAUGAGUUACUUUCAUAACAAGGAAUAUAUCGACUCUAAAUGACAAAAUUGAGGGAUAUAUCAGAUCAUUUUUCCUUCUUUUAUAUAUCAGAUAUACAUGGUAUACAAUAUCGAUGCAUGUACAUGGGACCCAUUCUUUUUGUUCCAAUACAUAUCGGUAGUUAUCCCAUUAUUAUAAUUUAUCCUGCCAUACAUACUAAAUAAUAAAAUUAACUAUACAAAUCCUUUCCGAAUAUUCUUGUCUAUCUGGUUGCAAUUUGCACUGAUCGAAUGACUCGUAGGGUCUACCAGCUGAUCUCUCUGCAUCCUCCAUAGCCCAAUGUCCCACCAUCCUCUCAUUGCUAGCCUACCCUAGCCCCCACUUAGUGUUCGAAUUUUUUAUAUAUAUAUAUUAAAAAAUUACAUAUUGUUUUGAAAAAUAUAUUCUAAGAAAACUUUGUGAAUAAUAUUUUCCUUGAUACCAAACUCUAAUCAAUGACUUCUCAAAAUUCUAUCGUUUUAAAUUAGGACAAAAGAUACCAAAUAUUCUCUUUUUUUUUAAGCUGAUAAAAGAUACUACCAAAUAUCGAUCUUAUCCUGUUUUUGCUUUUGAACAAACAUUUUAAACUUUAAAAAAUGUCUUGAUCAGUCACAAAUCAAGUCCUAUAAUAAAACUCAGUAUUUCAUUGUCACCAUGACACUUUUCUCACUUACUACAGCCAAAAUAUAUUACUAUUAUAUAUCCACUUUUCCACGUAAUUACUACACUAUAUUCUAUUAAUUUUUUUAAUAGCUAAGUAGCACUGUCAUGAAGCUCCAAAAAGAAACAUAAAGAAAAUGAGAUAAAAGAGAUGUUUUUGUUCUAUGCGAAUCUGAAUUAUUUGGAUAAAAAAGUAACUACAACAAUUUUGUGUUCUUACAAAUUGUGUCAAAUUAAAACACUUGCAACCUUUGAAGAGACAUACAAAGUGCCUCUUCACCAAAAAGUAACUUAAACAAUUUUUCUUUUAUUGGUACUCAAAAGUAACUUAAACAAUGCCAUCAUGUCCCUAUUUAUAUUCACUUUUAAAAUUUAAAAAGCUCAUAUUAGGUGAAGAUUAGUCACUAUGUUUGUCCUCUAGCUAACGCAAUCAGUGAGAAUCUUCUACGUAUCUAAUUAUCAAAUUCAGAUGCACUUUAGUUUCAAAAUAAUUCGAACUGAAUCAAAUACUUUAUAGAUAUAAUAUCAUUAAAACUAUAAUUAAAAAUAAUACAUACUAAAUUUUGAUUUCACAACUACAAAAAUAUAAAAAUAUUAAACUCUAUAGAUUUUAAUUUUGAAUCCAUCUCUACUAAUAGUAAGUAUUUCUUUACCCCGAAAUACAUAAUAAAACAAUUCCAUUAUUUUAACAUAGACCAACGUUGAUCUGUGUGCGGCUAAUUUAUUUUUCUAAUUAAAAGCGCUUUUUGUUUUUCGUCCUUGUAUAAUUAAUAAAUAUACAUCGUUAUUUUAAGAGAAAAUUGUAUAUAAUAACAAAUUAUUAAUUCGAAUUAAAUGCUAUAAAUAUAGUUUGAUUUAAUUGUACCCUACAACAAACUGUUGCUAUUUCGCCUCUCUCCUCGUGAAUCUCACUCGCCUCUCUCGCUUUUUAUACAAACGCAAAUGUAUAAAAUGUGUUUGUGUUUGUAUAAAGUGAGAGAAAAUUGUAUAUAUACAUAUAUUUUCGUUUCCCUCUCUCCGCUUUCCCAGAUCUCGCUCGCCACUCACCCAUAUCUAGCUCGCUAGUCUCUCCCUCGCCUCUCUCGCUUAUACAAACAGAAAUGUAUAUAUUGCGUUUCUGUUUGUAUAAAGCGAGAGAAAAUUGUAUAUACACAUGCAAAUACAUAUAUCUCCGUCCUAUACACUUAUGAUUAUACAAUAUAAAUAUUUCUCUGCCCAGUUUUCUUUUGCCUUUCUCUCUUUCUCACUUUAUACAAACACAAAUUAUACAAUUGAUCUUUUGUAUAUGUAUAACGAAACAGAAAAAGAUUAUAUGCAACUGCUUUCUUUUGUAUAUGUAUAGCGAAAUAUACAUAUUUAUGUUUGCUAUGGAGCGCAAUUAUGCAAACUAUAGCUAUAGCAUACAAAUAUGAUUUUUGUAUUUGUUAUAUGUGAAAGUUAUUCUUAUUUUAAUGCCAACACGAUAUACAUAGGAUAAGGUUGUCAAUAAAUUAUUAUUGCCAAUAUCACCCACAAGUUGAAACCAUUCACAACGUUACAUUGUUCCAUGCCAUUAUUUCAAUCAUCAUUAUUAUUAUAUAGUCCCCGCCUCUUGGAGGGUUUUCAAAAGCCAUAUUUAGGUCAAGCUUUUUAUAUGUUGUACAAAUUAUGAACAUAUGUUGAAAACUAUAAAUAGAACAGGUACUAGUGUUGAACCACAGAGAAAAUAAAAACGCGAAAAAUAGAAAGAGGAGAAGAAUACGUUGAUUUCGAGAAUAAUAAUGAUGAUUCAAAGGUUGAAGAUAUGCAUCGGAAUGGUGAAAUUGGCAUUUGAGUUUGUUGCGGUGUUUGUGAAAGCAGUUGGAAGUGUCAUCUCGGAUGAAGAGGAGAGGAACUACGUUGCUCAAACGCCAUACAUCGGCCUUCUUCCAUAAUUUUUGUCAUUUCAUUUAUUUACUGGUCCAACUUAUUCAGAUUUCAUAGAUAUAUGAUAACCGUAGUUUAGCUUUUUUUCUCCAUCGUGAGGCUUCAUGUAAAAAAGAGCUUUCUUUGGGAGAGAGAGAGAGAGAGGUGUUAGAGGUUAUUAGUUCCUUUUCCUUUUCUCUGUUGUAAUUUUUGUCUAGUCUGGUCUAACAGUAGUCCUUUUGACUUGUUCCCGGCCUUCAGGAUAUAACAGUCUAAUCAUAAAGUGUAACUCAAUAAAUUCUGGACAAAAGUUGAGUCCAAAACUCCACAAAAAGAACACCUCCCUCCACUUAAUAAAAACUCUCUUUUUGACUAACUUUAUGCACUAUAUAUUUUCUGUGUGUAAAACAAAUGAAGACCACAACUAUUUAUAGUAGAGGAAGUCUUUCUAGUAAUGAAUAGGAUGAUAAUGAGAUAGUAAAUAGUAAAGAUAAAAAACCUUGAGGUCAGGGGCGGACCCACAUGCAUCCGUGAGGGUGCACGUGCAUCCGGUAACUUUUAAAAAAAAAUUGUAUAUAUAUAUAUAUGUAUAGACAGUUGAUAAAACGAUAAUAUAUUUAAUUGUGCUCCCUAACAACCAAAAAUUUCUAUUGGUGCACUGGUUGUAGUUGCCAACUCGCUGCGCGCCGAAGUUAACCUUUUAUUAACUUUAAAUUCAUCUUUUUCUCUUAAAAUAAACCUUUUUAAAAAUUUCUUUUAUUAAAACUCGUUUUUGCUACCUCAUCUGGCCCCAUCCCCUUUCUUAACCACUCUUUUUUGGCAUCCGGUCCCGUUCCUUUCUUAAUUGAAUUUAAAAAUAAAUAAAAGCUCUAGCACAAUUCUAAACAAAAUAUAAGACUAAUUUUACCUAGCACAAUUCUAAACAAAAUAUAAGACUAAUUUUAAAUCUACAACUUACAAGUAUUCUUCAUUGCAUAAUUGAACUCCUACUUCUAUUAUCUCUGCGUAAAUUGGUAAGUUCUUCUUUUUAAGCAUAUUUUUUUUCACUAAUUUGUUGUUGAUUCUUGUGGUUUGAGAUGGAUAGAUUUUUUACGAAACAUAAUUCUUCUCAACCAAGUGCUAGUUUUAGAGACAAUUCUUCGCAUUUUAUAGAUGAGUUUUAUUAAUAUGAAGAUUUGAGUUGUUUAUUCAAAGUUCUAAAAUAUUUUUGAUAAAAAGUAGAUAGAUCUUUGUUUUUUUAAAAUUAUAAUGUUCAAUAUUGAUUUAAGUGAAAUAAAAUAAUAAAUUCACUAUUAAAAUUUAUUGGGGCCUCAAAUUUUUGGAGGCCUAAGAAGGCUUUGCUAAAUGCUAACGUUACUCUUGUGUCACUCCUAGCCUUACCCUUGAGUCACUCUUAGUAGUGCCCUCCCUAUCUUUAAAUUCUGGAUUCGUCUCUUGAGGUUACAUAAGUUACGAUGAAUAAAGAGGAAUGAAGAGUGAAAUAAUGUUAAUAACUAAUGUCAACAACGGACAACAAAUAUAUAUAUGCUGCCCAUGACCAGUCCACCAACGUUUAUUUCCACCAAAAUAAUGAGCAAUUAAGCCCAAAUACCCUUGAGUCACUCUUAGUAGUGCCCUCCCUAUCUUUAAAUUCUGGAUUCGUCUCUCUUGAGGUUACAUAAGUUACGAUGAAUAAAGAGGAAUGAAGAGUGAAAUAAUGUUAAUAACUAAUGUCAACAACGGACAACAAAUAUAUAUAUGCUGCCCAUGACCAGUCCACCAACGUUUAUUUCCACCAAAAUAAUGAGCAAUUAAGCCCAAAUACCCUUGAGUCACUCUUAGUAGUGCCCUCCCUAUCUUUAAAUUCUGGAUUCGUCUCUCUUGAGGUUACAUAAGUUACGAUGAAUAAAGAGGAAUGAAGAGUGAAAUAAUGUUAAUAACUAAUGUCAACAACGGACAACAAAUAUAUAUAUGCUGCCCAUGACCAGUCCACCAACGUUUAUUUCCACCAAAAUAAUGAGCAAUUAAGCCCAAAUGAAAUGCACAUAAAGAGAGGAUAGUAAUGCCACAUAUGUCACUUAAAACAAUAUGUAAGAAACUGCCACUAACGGAUGGCUAUGCAAAUGAUGGAUUUUAUUAAUUUAAAAUGCUAAGUAACCAACAUUUAGUUAUUUUAAUUUAAUGUGAUUCCUUCAAGCUUCUUGUUAUAAGAUUGCAAUUAGUGCCAGCAAAAUAGCCCAUUUUGGUAACCCACUCAACUCGCUCAUAUUUAAUGAAUUAGGUGAGUGACUUUUUACAUGGAUAAAAUAUGGAUUGAUACUCAUAUUCAAUAUGGGUAAAAUAUGGGUAAAAUAUGGGUAAUAUGGGUAAAAUAUGAAUUAACCAAAUGAGUUAAGCUUCUAACUUUUAUUCACUCAAAACUCAUGAUAUUACCAAAUAUAUUGUAACUUCUCUUCCUUUUUAUGUUCUUUUAUAAAACUAAUUAUUUUUCUCUAUAAUUGAAAAUGUGAAGUCUUUGGCCCUCAAAAAAUAUCUAUUUUAAAUGUACAUUUCUUUUGUUAAUUCUAAUUAUAUUUUAUUUAUUUAUUUAAUUUUAUAUUGGAUAAUAAAUAAUAACAUAAACUAAGCAAAUCAUGUACUAGUAUUGACAUUAUAUUGCUUAAAGUGUAUUAAGCAUGUUUUAGGGUGUGUUUGCUAUGAAGGAAAACAUUUUCACCCUUACCCUCGACCCCCUCCCCCACCCAUCCCUUACCAUCCCCAAAAAAUAAUUUUAAGUUUAUUUUUAAAAAAUAUUUUGAACUUCAAAAUUUCAUUUUUUCACCCCUACCCUCGACGCCCCACCCCCAAAAAAAUAUUUUAAGAUUGUUUUUAAAAAAUAUUUUCAAUUUCAAAAAUUAUUUUCUACUCUAGUAAAAAUAAAAGAUAUUUCUCAAAAAUAUUUUUCCUUCAUAAACCAAACACUACAAAUCUUUUCCGAAAAAUAUUUUCUACUCACCAACCAAACAUGAGAAAAUAAAUAAAAAAUUUACUUGUUUUCCAGGAAAACACAAAUUUAUUUUAUAUUGAAAAGUUAUAGGAUUUUAUUUUUUACUUUUAUGAUACAAUAAAACUAAUGAAGCAUUUUCAACAUAUUUCAUCUAAAAAAAGACUAAAAUAUUUUCUCCAUGUUGAAUUCUUAAGUAGAGUACUAUUUACUCAUGAAAAUAUGGGUAAAACAUGGGUAAACUAGUAUUUUAUCCAACCCAUUUGUUACCCAAUUCAUUUUUACCCAUAUCAAAUAUGGGCAUGUUGAAUUAUUACCCAUUUUAUGUUGACCCAUUUUCAACCCGUCCAAAUUUGACCCAAUCCGCUCAUUUGCCAAAACUAAUUGCAACGUAGCUAAAUAAUUAUACUAUUAUCGGUUCCGUAGUUUAUACAUAGUGGUUCUUAUUUUCUUUAUGUAAAAUAAUGAAAGUGGUCAAAUAUCGUUAGAUUUUCAAUGUUUAAUUAGUAUAUUCUCAAUUUGCUAAAAAUUUUAUUGAUACAUGCAUUUGGAGAUUAUUAAGCACUACAAUACUACAGUCAACGCCAACAUCUUAACGUGUCAAAUUUAUUUUUAUUUGAAAAUUAGUAAAUAUAAAAAUAAGUAAAUAAAUAAAUACAACUACAUUACCCUAUUUUAAAAAAUAUAUAUUUACAUUUAUUUAUUGUAGAAACGAUUUGUUUGAUGAAGCCCACUCUAAAAGUUAGUGCCGGUAAUAGUAAUUAAACUUUGUCAUAUUGUGUUAUACUCGUAGAGCAUUUUCCCUAACAAUAUGCACAUAUUAGGCAGGCUUGUGGACAUACAGUGUUUGCAAAUAUUAAUUAUUUAUAAAUAUUAAAAUAAAAUAUCUAUUGUGAAUCAAUGUUUGUUUCACAGUAUUGUCAAUUAUUUCAACUUCAAAUUAAAAUAUAUAGAAAUUUCGAAGUCAUUUCAAAUUUGUUUGCAAAAUAUUUUAAGUGAAAUAAUAAUUUUCAGUAGCAACACUUUUUCGUUUAAGUAAAUUCAUAUCUUAACAUAAUACUUUCUCAAUUUCAAUUGCAAAUACUUUUUUUUUUUUAAUUUCAACUAAAUAUUCUCUAAACAGCUAACGAAAUUCUAACUUUCCCUCAAAGUUGUAGACUAAACAAAAGUUCGAUGAAACAAUUUUCCUUACUAACACGAGUUGAUUCCUUAAAUAGACACUCAAAUUAAUGAAAUUAUAUAGUAAAGUCACAUUUUAACUAAAUAGAGUCUCUCAAAAAAAUUACUAUGGCUAGAAGUUCACAGGGGCAAGCCAAAAUCUGAUCAGUCUAAAAGGAAUUGAAAUAUUUUAUCGAAGAGGCACAACCAACAAUAAUUAUUUGAGAUUUCAUUAUUUAUUUUUUUGACACUUGAACAGUGGGCCUAUUUUCUUAUUUUUUACGUGUUGUUCAUCACUUCUCUUGUAUUCACUCCUCUUUUUUUUUUUUUUUACUAUUAACAAAUGUCCAAUUCUCAAUACAUAAUUAAAUAAUUAAUACAUUUGAUUUAAAAAUACAAAUAAACACAUUUUCUGUUAAAAUGACUUAAACACUUAAAACUGCUAACAUUACAAAUAAGUUUAUUGUCAAUAUCUUUCAAUAGAGUCAAAUAAACUCAAAAUACAAAUUAAUUUACUUUAGCAUAUAACCUGAUUAGAUAAGAUUAAUUUUUUUUGUUCUGAUUUUGUUUUUAAAUUAUAGAUACUUUUUUUCCAGCAUAACCAUAUUUAAAAAUAGGAUUGACAACGGGCAGAACGUACAGGUCAGGGGACGACAUAUUCACUUUUUAAAAAAAUUUAAAUGGGCUGAGGCAGGUCACAACGCGGAAUUUAAGUCUUUUGUAUUAAAACUUAAAAUGCUUAAUUUAUUCUUCAAAAAUUAAUCAGUUCCAUACAAAUUCUAUUAUUAUUAUUAGAAAAAAUUACUUAUACACACCAUUUAUUAUCAUAUUUUCCCUACCAUUUUAAAAAAUAUAAAAAAUCCCUUAUUUUCCUUCCAUCAUCCCCUUUUCCGAUGUUUUCCAAUUUUCUCAUGUUUGGUUGGGUUAAAUGUUUUGGAAAAUGUUUUCCAAAUCAACUUAUUUUCCUCAAAUUUAAGGAAAAUGACUUCCUUUCAAAAUUUAAGGAAAACAUUUUCCAAAACUCUCUUCCAACUUUCAAUUAAAAAAAAAUUGUUCAAAAAUCAAUUUAUUGGUCCCUACCCUCAAACCAGCCCCCCCCAACCACCCCCAAAAAAAAUAAUAAUUUAAAGUUUGUUUUUAAAUUCAAUAUUUUUACCCCAUCCUCACCCCUACCCCCCCCCNNNNNNNNNNNNNNNNNNNNNNNNNNNNNNNNNNNNNNNNNNNNNNNNNNNNNNNNNNNNNNNNNNNNNNNNNNNNNNNNNNNNNNNNNNNNNNNNNNNNNNNNNNNNNNNNNNNNNNNNNNNNNNNNNNNNNNNNNNNNNNNNNNNNNNNNNNNNNNNNNNNNNNNNNNNNNNNNNNNNNNNNNNNNNNNNNNNNNNNNNNNNNNNNNNNNNNNNNNNNNNNNNNNNNNNNNNNNNNNNNNNNNNNNNNNNNNNNNNNNNNNNNNNNNNNNNNNNNNNNNNNNNNNNNNNNNNNNNNNNNNNNNNNNNNNNNNNNNNNNNNNNCCCCCACCCCCCACCCCACCCCCAAAAAAAAUUAAGUUUGUUUUUAAAAAAUAUUUUCAAUUUCAACAAUUAUUUUCUACUCUAGUAAAAAUAAAAGAAAUUUUUCAAAAACAUUUUUCAUUCAUAAAUCAAACACUAAAAAUCUUUUUCGGAAAAUAUUUUCUACUCACCAACCAAACAUGAGAAAAUAAGUCAAAAAUCAACUUGUUUUCUAAGAAAACAUUUUCCAUGGAAUGUAAUGUAAGUUAUAUUUUAUUUGAGUCCAUUUCAUUAAGCAAGUACUACUUGAUAAAUCCAAAUAUUCUGAAGGCAUUUACAAAAUACUCUUGGUUUUGUAUUCUAAUGAGUAAUAUAAUUUCUUUGUUCUCAUAUGUUAUUAGAGAAUGUUGAUACAUCAAUUUAGAUUUCGAGCACCAAUUUCGUUACUUAUAUAAGCCAUCUCUUCUUAUAUUUGAUUUGCUGAUAUUGUAGAUAUAUAGAUGAAAGAACACACACAUCUAGGUGUUGUAAGCUGGAGUUUUGUUGAUUUGAUCUAACUAACAGAAAAAAGGGGAUCCUAUCGGAGCAGCCAUGGUACUGCAAAAUUGGUAAGGAUCGUUGCUAUUACUGCUACUUCGGGAGGAGUCAUAUGUUCUCAGUUUAUUUAGUAGUGCAAAAAUUGAUAAGUUACUUGAGCUAUUAUUAUAUUGUCGCAAUUGGAUUACGUUUAUCGUUUUGUUCCAUUUGAAUUUCAUAUUUGCCCUUGACCAGGAACUAUCGAGGCAUUAUUUUGUUAGUAGAACUACUAAUAAAGAACCAUUUUACUUAAUAGAAAAUAUUUUGUUGCCAUUGGAACUUGACCGAGUUGGAAACCAGUUUUAACAAAUUAGUAAUAUGCUUUCUAUCUUACUGCGGUGAGUUGUUAUAUCGUUGGACAUUAACAAUUUUGAAAUUUAGAUUUUAAAGACGGUGAAACUGACGAACACACGCUUCUGCUCAAGUAUAAGUAUCUGUUAGUUCUCUGUCAUUGUUGUUUUAGAACUUUUUCUACUUUAUGUGUGAUAUUUUAAAACUGAUUCAGCCUAUACUUCAAAAUUUUAUGUACUUUGGUCUCAAUAUUGCAUCUUACAAAUUUCUACUGUAGUUUAGAGCAAUGCUUGUAGAAUUUAUAGAUUUUUUUCUACAAUAUAGUCAUUCAUGUAAAUAAAUAAUUUGGAAUGUGGUGAUUUCUCCUGCAGUAUCAUCAUUCAUGUAAAUGCUUUGUACUUCUUGCUUUGGUGAUUCCUCCCUGUUCCUUCAAAAAGAGAACAAAAAGCGGAAUGACAUGAGAGAUUUUGAAAGUCUCUUUAUAUGGCAAAAUUCUAAGCUCUACUACAGCUUGGAUGGAUACCUCCAUUCGAGAAUAGAUCAUAGUGUAAGUAUGUUACUUUCAAGUCCAUUUUUUACCGUUAAUACAAAAUUUCUUGCCUGCAAUAGAAACCACUGUGAGGAUAUCUAUACGUAGUUUCAAAUCCGUGUCACAGAUAAAUUUAACAUUGCUUGUAAUUCGAUCCGUGAGAUAUUGGGUUGUUGCUAACCUACCCAAAUCCAAGUUAUUGUGUACAUUAUAGACAAAUAAAAGGUAACUGAUUAUUCCACUAUUCAAUAAUCUAUAUCCAAGUUAUUAGGAUUUGUUGCUAACCUACCCAAAUCCUAAUAAUCUAUAUCCUCCUGAAAGAAAAGAGUAAGAAAUAAAGACACAAGAAAAUGCAUAUAGCUAAAUUCUUUAUAUCUUGCCAAGAUAUUAGUUUAUGGUGUCUUAAAACUCAGUAUCUAAACAAUAUCAUACAAAGCAAAAUACAAAUAAAUAGGUACAAAUGCACAUACACAGUAAACAACAGAACAUCAACAAAGAGUAGAAAAUUAAUCUCAUAAACUGGAAAUGAAAGACAAAAGACAAUACCAUGUUAUUGACCUAAAAAGUAUUACUUGUAAUUGGCUUAGAGCUUUUAGGCAAUGUUGCUUCAAUACUUGACAUGCAUAUCAAAUGAUCUUUGAAAUUAUGCAACAUAUCUCCAUUUGGUGGACAUCCAAGUUGACAAAGUGAAUAUGAAUCUACACUUCAAAAAGUUAUUUCUCACUCUUUGAUGAACAUAGGAAAAUUAGUACACCACAAAAUGCCAUAAAUUCAUAAAUCUGUGUCAAAUUGCAAUAGAAAAAGCAACCUAAUAGAUGAUUACAACAACCUGAGAUAUUGUUAAACUCAAAUAUCUUCCAAAAUGUACUAGACUAUACUAGAGCUUCUGGAAUAUGCUUCUUUUAAGUUUUUUCCUUAACAUGUAAGAUACUUCAUUUGCAAUCUAAACAUUAGUAGAACAUGUUAACCAAAUAGAGAAUCCUCACAGUCAUAGGUCUCCUUAGCAAAUAAUCCUAAUGUCUCAUUUUGGCCUUUAGUUUUGUUAUACCUGAUGAAAUAUUUACUGAAAUAUACAGGUCGGGUUCUUUGUUCUCUCUUAUUUAUGAUUGUCGAGUCAUCAUUAUGCAUUGUUUUAUUAACUUGCUCUAUCUUAGGAUAAUUUUCAGUUAUUACUUCAGGCUUCUUUAUUAUGUUUAUGAAUCUUUCUUUGUUUUUGUGUUUGUUCUUGAUAAAUUAAGUUUAUUGGGAUUUCUGGAGAGAAUUACACUCUUAUUAUGCUCAUGAUAGCUCUUUUGUUAUUAUGUUCCUUAAUUGUCUUGCUGGAAGUUUGCCACGAUAACAAUCCUUUGAGUUUUAUACCCUGACCGCCUGAUGCCAUCUCAAUUAUUUUUGAAAGAGAAUUAACCUAUAUUAAGAAGUCUAGAACAUGUGGUUUGAAUCAAAGGCACAUAAGAAAAGUCACAUUACCAAUACAAGAGUUAUCUUAUUAGUUGAGUUAUUGAUACCUUUAUUUAUUAAGAAUAUAGAUAUUUUUGAUGAAUGGAAAGCUUUUAGAAGAAAAGCAACUCUUCAGUCAAGAUUAUUACCAAAAGAACAAGGAGGAGUGCAUCCACAAAUUCAUGAUACAAGAUCGUUGUGGAAGUUCACAACUUUGCUGUUCUGUAUGUCUGUAAUGACAUGGAUGAACAUGAUUAUCCCUUUGUGUGCGAGUCUCUGCAACUCACAAGAAAAUUAUGAUCAAUCCUUGAUCUAUAUGCAAGAACUACUUUAGUCAAUUUUGUUAAUUAAACCUUUCACGAAAGAUAAUUCAAUUUCUUACUUGCUGAUUUUUCCUUCUGGUUCAUUUGGAUUUUUAAGUGUCGAAUGAAAACAUAUCUCUAUUUGAUAGAGGCAAUCAAGAUGUGGGACUAUACUGGAUAUGUUAUUGUUGACAGAGGUGAUCAAGUUGAAAAGUGAACAUAUUGGUAGAGCUUUUUUCUAAAAAUAAUAGAUGUAAGUUUUCCCCCAACAAUUUCAUAACUAUUAUUUUUGUUUGUUCCUUUGCUGUUAGAUUUGUGUGCUGUUUAUCGAAUUACAUAAACUUGAUUGUACUUAUUUUUUUGGAUCAGGUGUUUGUACUUUGUUCAUUAGAAAUUGCAGGUAUCAAUCUCAAGUGUGGUUGCACUUCUAUCCACAUGUAAGUGUUGUCUCAUUUGUUAUCUAGAAAUUUGACUUGCAUAGACAAAUUAUUGGUAUUACCACUUUAUAAUUGAUUCGAUUGUUGCUUAUGAUGUUAAUAUUUACAUGUAUUGCUAUAUUCAUUAAAAUUUAUGUCUGGAAAUAGUGGCAGACAAAGCAUAAGCUUGAUGGGUUCAAUUGUGUCGAUUAUCUUCGACCCGAUACAUGACCCAUAUGUGAUUUAAAGAGAGUAAUGUUUUCCGUUGUAAGAACCUAAAGGAUGAAUCUAUGAAAUUUAAACAUUGAAUCCUCUUCUUGUGAAGGCAAUCUUAACCAAUACUUUUCAGUGUGUAGUAGAGAUUACUCCUUACUAGGUGGUUACCAUUUGAGAAUUUUGGUUGGCCUUUUCCUGAAAUUUUAGUGUCAUAUAUAUGAGAUAUGCUAGAGUGAACCUUCAAAACUUCAUAAUUGAAAUUCAUUGUUUUUCCAAGUGUGAUUCCAUCUAUUCUACAAGUUAGCAGACAAUUACAAAAUGAAAAAGAAGAGGGUUAUCAUCAAAGUAAUUCAUAAUUUUUCUGUUUAUCUUAGAACUGCUGAAAAUUUGAGUAAACAUUCAACUGUUAGUACUAUACCCUCCUUUGGAUUGUUAAUAUAGUAGUUCCGACUACUGAGCUUGAAUUGGGUUGCCUCUCUAAUCGAGAUCGUAGUCCUCAAGCACCACUAAGAGAGGCAACCCAAUACAAGCUCUAUCUAAGAUCCUUAUGAUCGGAUGAAUAAUUUUAUCAGUCAUUGUUUAAGUUAUUUUGUUCCAAUGAAGAUAUUCUUAUAAGUAAACUUUUAUGUACUUAUUUGGCAUACUUCUACAUCAACACAUCUUUAAAUGCUUAUAAUUGUGUUGCAACUUUAUCGAGCUUUUGUAAUAUCAGGUCAUUAUUUUUCAUGUGCUACUUUUUCAUUUUUCUUUUAAUUGAACUCCUAUCUUGCACCUCCAAAUGAUGAUGUAAAGAUCCACCAUUAAAAAUAUAAAAUGUUGGGCCCGUGCUAAGCACGGGCCAUGCCCUUCUAGUAUAUAUAUAUGCUAAAAAAUAUAAAAUGUGUAGCUUUCCCCUUUCUUUUUUUUUAGUCAUUUUCUUGAAUUUUUUCUUUCUAGGUGCUACAAAUGAAGCAUUAUAUUAAUCCCCACGGCCCUCACCUUAGUUAAUGUAAGUAAUAUAUGUAAAAAGAUUCUAAGAUCAAAUUGUCUAAAAAAAAACAACCUCAAAGCACUUCCAAGUUGCAACCUUUGAAGAGACAUAGUAUAUCUAGAUCGAAAUAUUGCCUCCUCACCCAAAAAAAAAAAAAAAAAAACUUAAACAAUGCCAACGUGUAGCUAGUUUAAAAGUUCAGAUUUGGUGAAAAUUAAUCACUAAGCUUGUCAGCUAGCUAACUCAAUCAAUUAGAAUUUUCUACUAAACCAAUGAUCAGAGAAUAUGAACUUUAAUUAGUUUCGACAAAUAUCAAAUUUUGGACAAGUGAUUGCAAGAGUGCAAUGCGUACGUCGAUACAACUAAGAACAUAAAUUUUUAACUCAUCAAAUUAAAAUUCUAAAUCGCCUCUCUCUCUCUCUCUCUAUAUAUAUAUAUAUAUAUAAAUAAUGCUACGUUGGUUUAUUACAUAUCUUUAUUUAUUAAUUUUAUUGCCAACAUGCAUGAUAUAUAGAUGGAUAGGGUUGUGUGCAGGGGCGGCUCAACAUUAUUGGAGGCCUAGAAUAUAAAAAAACUUUAUAUUUAUAUUUAUUCAAAAAUUAUUUUUCUUACACUAUUUAGAUGAAAAUUAGUAUUUAAUAUUAUUUUUUCAGCUAUUAGUUUUAGAUAAGAUUUUAUCAAUUCAACAUUGAAAAACAUCUUUCAGUGAGGCAAUUAUUAUAUGAAUUGUUAACAUAAUUCUAUAAGUAAUAAGUUGACAAAUAUUAAAUAAAGAUAAGAGUUAGAAUCAUAGAAUUUGACUCAAAAAGUUGAUGACUUGGUAUAUCCCAUUUUAAUAUGUUUGUAGUAAUGUUUGAAACUAAAUUUAAAAGAAAUAAAAAAGAAUUUCUAAUUCACUUCGUUCAACACUUUUCAUUAUUAAUUGUUAUUUUUAACAAAGUACAAAAAAGGUUAAAUGGGUAAAAUAAUAUAUAUUUUUUAAAAUAUACUUUUUAUCAUAAAUAAUUAAUUUUUUCUAUAAAAAAUUUAAUACCUAAUUUAUUCUUGAUAAAAAUUUGAGAGCCUAAAGCAAAAGCCUUAUUUCCCAAAGCAUAGAUCCGCCCUGGCUGUGUGAAUAAUAAUAGUAAAGGGUCUCGAUCACAUUCAUCGACUAGUUAAACCAUUCAAAUCUCAUCAGUCAUCUCUCAUCAAUCUAUCUUCCAAAAUUGUCCUUUAUAUGUAUAUUAAAAUAAUUGCUCUUUUGACCCUUAACAUAUUAGAAUAAUUGCAUUUUGAUCCCUUAAUUUUAUAUGAGUAAAUGAUUUUGAUCUCUAUCAUAUUAAUUUAUUUGAGUAAGUACACUGCACAUCCAAAAUUUAAUAGUUUUGGUCUCUUCAUAGAUAAAUAUGUGAUAUUUGAACUGUAUUUACUACUAAAAAAAGAUUAAAAGCUCAUCGCUAUUUCGCUCGUAGCUAAUAAAAAUAAGUCACUAAAUAGAAUUAGCUAUGAACUUCAUCGCUAAAUCACUUGUAGCUAAUAAAAAAUUGUCGCUAAAUAGAAUUAACAAUGCUAUUUUAGCUAUAAAAUUGCUAAAUCCUAUUUUUUAGUAGUGAUCGAUCACCUUCAAAUAUAGAGCAUAACACGUUGGUAAUUCAACAGUUUAGCACAAGUAAAUGGAUUUAAAGCUACUCAUUUAUCCAAAAAUUAUGAGGACCACAAUUAAAAUUUGUUACUAAACAUUCAAGGGACUAAAAGUGAAAAAAAUUCCUAUGUAUGAUUUGAGAGAGAAAUAUAAAGUUGUUCCAUGUCACUACUAUUGUACUAUAGACUAUCUGUCUUUUGGGUGAUUCCAAAAGCCAAAUUUAAGUGAGGAUUUAUUUGUUCUUCAAGUCAUGGUUGUGUAAUUUUUGGAAACUAUAAAUAGAACAGAUACUGGAAUUAGACAAAAGAGAAAAUAAAUAAAGACGCGGAAAAUAGAAAAAGGAGAAGAAAAAGAAAAAUACAUUAAUGGUGAUUCAAAGGUUAGAAAUGUGCAUUGAAAUGGUGAAAUUGGUGUUUGAGUUUUUUGUUGUGUUUGUAGAAGCUGUGGGUACUGUUAUCUCACAAAAUGAUUCAUCUCUAAUCGACAGGAACUAUGAUGCCACAACUCCCUACAUCGGCCUUCUUCCAUGAAACCAAUUCAGUAUAUAUUCGAGAUUUAUUGGUCCGACUAAAAGUUAUUAAUGCAUGAAAAAGAGCAAUGACGUACAACUGCGUUUUAGUUCCUUCCUUCCUUUUUUUUUUUUAUACUUUUAAAUAAAUUAUUUAUAUUUAAUGUAAUUUGUUGUGAAUUUAUUAAUAUUUAUUGUAUUUCUCUUUUGCAUAUACGGCAAGAAAUAUUAGCUACUGAUUUUUAAAAUUUUCAUUUCACUCUUAUUUAUAUCGUAAGAUAUAAAUUUUGUUCAAUUAGAUAUAUUUACUUUAUUAUCAAACGGGUGAUUUACUCUUCGACUACGGAUCCCAUACUACCCCAUAAACCGAAAAUUCAUAACCCCAAUUGCUACGAGAAUGCCGUUUAGUUGGCCGAUAUGUUUGUAGUCAACAAUUACCUGUAAGGAUAAGAUAGAAAAAUAAAUAAAUUAUUUUAAACUUUUAAAAUGAUAAAUAAUUUAAGGUAUUUAUUUAAAGAAAAUUACGAUUGAUAAUUUGUGACAGAGAAAGUAGUUAACAAACAUUAUAAAUAGAUGGACAUGAUUAAGAUUUUUUAAUUUUUUACCAAAAAAAUAAUAAGACUUCUUUUAUUUCUUAUAAUUAGCUUCUGUCCACAAAAAACUUGAACAUGUGAUCUGCAUGUUGCCAAUUGCCUUGUUUUUAUUUAUUUAUUUAUUUUUAUUUUAUUAUUAUUAUUAUUAUUAUUAUUAUUAUUAUUAUUAUUAUUAUUAUUAUUAUUAUUAUUAUUAUUAUUAUUAUUAUUAUUAUUAUUAUUAUUAUUAUUAUUAUUAUUAUUAUUAUUAUUAUUAUUAUUAUUAUUAUUAUUAUUAUUAUUAUUAUUAUUAUUAUUAUUAUUAUUAUUAUUAUUAUUAUUAUUAUUAUUAUUAUUAUUAUUAUUAUUAUUAUUAUUAUUAUUAUUAUUAUUAUUAUUAUUAUUAUUAUUAUUAUUAUUAUUAUUAUUAUUAUUAUUAUUAUUAUUAUUAUUAUUAUUAUUAUUAUUAUUAUUAUUAUUAUUAUUAUUAUUAUUAUUAUUAUUAUUAUUAUUAUUAUUAUUAUUAUUAUUAUUAUUAUUAUUAUUAUUAUUAUUAUUAUUAUUAUUAUUAUUAUUAUUAUUAUUAUUAUUAUUAUUAUUAUUAUUAUUAUUAUUAUUAUUAUUAUUAUUAUUAUUAUUAUUAUUAUUAUUAUUAUUAUUAUUAUUAUUAUUAUUAUUAUUAUUAUUAUUAUUAUUAUUAUUAUUAUUAUUAUUAUAAUUAUUAUAUCUUUUUCCAUUUCAUAUCUAUUUUCUGCAUAGUGUAGUUGACUCAAUUUAUGUAUUCCCCUCGGAGGUUGGUGAUAUUUUUCAAUAAGUCCCUUUCCAAAUAAUUUUUAAUAUUUAUUUCUUUUCUUCCCUUUCCCCCUAUAACAUUGAUGAUUGAACUUGAUCUAGACUUUCGACCACAUUCAAAUAUCCAACGUUUUACCAUUAAAUUUCUUUAUUUUCUUGAUUGUGCAGAUAUAAUCUCUUAUUGUAAGUUGAUAUGUAAAAGAAAUUACAUAUGUUUAUAACUUAGAAAUAAUUUUUAAUAGUGUUUUAGAAAAAUUAUAUUGGCUUAUCCAACUUAUGCCCUCUCAUCUUCUUCCACCCGAAACAUUCACAGUCAAAAUAAAUCAUAUCCAUUCACCAAUAAUCACUAUUUACAAAAAAAAAAAUGAUAACAAUCAAUUUUUAUAGCUAAAUAAUAAAAUUUAUUAGUAAUGAAUUAAUUAAUAGCAAUAAAAUAUCAUAAAAUUUUGUUAGAUUCGAAUAAUUUAGCGAUAAAAUAGUUAACUGUAUUUACUCAUUUGCUGCAAACAGCAAAAGACGGGCCUAGCUAGGAAUAAGGAACGUACCUCAUAAAGCACAGUGUCAGAAAAAUAAUAUAAUCCCAAGUUGUCUUUUAUUUCAAAUACUAUUAUAAGUCGAGUCCUACCUCGUCUGGUGUUUCCCAGACAAAUAAAAUUUUGUAAUUAUAUAACAAAUAUUUCACGCUAAUCUUAUAUUUAGCUAUUACUAUAAUAAAAAUAAUGUUGCUAAAAACUCUAAGGACAUUUAUAAAAAAUAUUAAUUGCUACUAAAGAUAUAUAUUUAAUGACAAUUAAGUUAUUGUCGUUGAUUAAGUGCUUCUAAAUAUCAUUUUUGAUGUAGUGUAUAAAUUAGCAAUGGAUUAAAAGAAAAUUCAAUUAGUUAGGAAUUCUUUUAGCAACGAAUUAACGAUUAAUUACCGAUAAUUCCACAUUACAGUAAAAAGAUUCAAUAAAGUAACCAAUUAUCGGUCGGCUUCUCUAAAUUUAAUUAAUGGGAAGUGCAAUUAAUUUGGAUAUGUCUUGAACAUGCUUAGUUUGGUGUGCAAGGACAUGAAGUAUUAUAUAAAUCUCUAUUGUCCCUUUCAUUAAUCUUAAUCAACAAGCAGUGCUAAUCUAAAAAAGAUUCUAAGGAUCAAAUAAAAUUGCGUCAAAGCACUUGCAACCUCUGAAGAGACAUACUAUAGUAUAAUAUCCAGAACGAAUUAGUGUCUCUUCACCAAAAAUAACUUAAACUAAUGCCAACAUGAUAUAGUAAAUUCUAAUUAAAAGUUCAGAUUAAUUAAGUAAAAAUUAAUCAAUAUGCUUGUCAACUACCUAACUCAAUCAUUCAGAAUCUUCUACUAAUCCAAUUGUUCAGAGGUACAUGUUACUUUAGUUUCAAUUGAAUACAAUAUUUAUAUACAAAUAAUGAUUAUAAACAUAUACGUGAAUAACUGUAACUAGUUCAUCGAUAAAAAUACUAAAAUCUUCAAAUUUAACUCUUGAAGAUAAGCCUCUAUGGGAGUGGGAGACAGUCCUACGGACAAGCAUCUAUGACAACAUUUAAUUGUCCAAACUUAAAACUAACAAUCAAUUUCAUUAUUUAACGUAGAUCACUGUUGAAUGUUAAUAUAUAUAUACGACAUUUUUUUUUCCUUUCUAAUAUAUAUAUUAAAAAAAGCCCUUUUAAUGCUAAUUGUUGAUUUAUAAUUAUAUAUCGUUAAUUCAAUGCCAACACGAUACAUGGAUAAGGUUGUCAAUGUAUAAAAAUAAUAAUAGAAAAGGGUCUCAAUCUCAUUCAUAUCUGCAAGUUGAAACCAUUCACAUCUAAUCUCUCCUCAAUCUAUUUACAUAUAUAUUAGAAUAAUUGCACUUUGAUCCCUUGCUCGUUUGGUUUUGGAGAAUAAGUUAUUUUGAGAUUAAUUAUUUUUGGAUCAGUUAUUUCAAAAUUGUUAGUAUAUCCUUAAUUAAUAUGUGAUAAAUAUAAUAUUACAAUUCUAGGAUAACUAAUCUCGGAAUAAAUUAUCUCACGACUUUAUUCAAAUCAAACAUGAGAUAAACUCAUCCUAAAAUUAAUCGUGAGAUUAAUUAUUUCUUAUCUCUUAUAUCAAAUGAGCUUUAAUAUAUUCAAAUUGCACCUUUUAUGCCUUAAUUGUUGAACAUAUUCAAAGCACACCCCUAACUUACUAAAAUGUACUUUUUGGUCCCAUGAUAGAAAAUAUAUGUAUUUAAACUUUUUCUAGAGUUUAUAUUAUCUUCAAAUCUGGAGUAACAAUAUAAAUUUAGCAUGCAUAACACAUCAGUAAUUUCAUGAUUUAACACUUAAAAGUUCAUGAAAUUUGUGAAGAUGCACAAGUAAAUGAAUCAAAAAGUACACAUUUUAACUAAAUAAAAGUUAAAUACGCUUAACCAGGAACUACAAGGACCAAAAUCAAAACAUAUUAAUUAUUUAAGGAACAAAAUGUGAAAAAUUUCCUAUGUAAUAAUUUGAGUGUGAGAGAAGAGAAAAACAAAAUCGAUGGUUGUUCCAUGUCAUUAUUGCUACAAUUAUUAUUUAAUUUUAUAUUCCCCGACUCUUGGGGGUUUCCAAAAGCCAUAUUUUGCUAAUAUCUUGUACGAAUAUAAUCAUCGUUGUAUCUUUGGAAACUAUAAAUAGAACAGCACGUACAUCUUAUAAUUGAACGAAAGAGAUAGCGAAAACGCGGAAAAUAGAAAGAGGAGAGAAGAAUAAUAUACAUACAUUCGAUCGAGAAUAUAAUUAUAUUUAUGGUGAUUCAAAGGUUGGAAAUGUGUAUAGGAAUUAUGGAAUUGGUGUUUGAGUUCAUUAUUGUUUUUAUUGAAGCUGUUGGUACUGUUUUCUCACAAAAUCAUUCAUCUCCCGCUGAAAGGAACUAUGUUGCUGCAGUCCCCUACAUCGGCCUUCUUCCAUAAAAUGAUCGAAUAUAUUUGAGAUUUACUGGUCCGACUAUAGUAGUUAAUGCAUGGAAUUGAAGGAGCAUGAUAAUAAUUACAUUUUUAGUUUUUUUUUUUUCUCUCACUGAGAGAAGUCUUUGUAAAGUAUAAAAUCAGAUUCAGAAGAGCUUCCUUGGGAGAGAUUAGGUGUUAGAGUCUAUAGUUUCAUUGUUUUUUUUGUUUAUAAUUUUUGGUUAAUUAAUUUUAUUUAGUGUAAUUUGUUGUGAGCUUAUUAAUAACACUACCAGCUUAAUUAUAUUUUUUGUUUUAGAAUUCCUUACGCGAAGCUUAAUGGAUUUAUCCCUAGGAUAAAAAUUAAUAUAAAAUUUAAAAAAUAAUAUUAAUGAUGAAACUUUUAUGGAAAAUAUAUCUGAUUUUGGACAUGGGAAAACACUAGAUCUUAGCUUUUCGUCUGUACUAUAUUAAUGAAGUAGCAAUAAUUAUGCAGAUAUUUAUAUUUCUUGAAUAUAAAUAUAUUUAUUUAUCUUUUUUGUGUGUGUGUGAUUACAGUAUAACAUGAUUUGAAAUAGCAAAAGACUUCCUAAAAUUAGAAUUUCCAUUAGAAUGUAUUUUAACGUUCUCAAAAAAAAAUAAAAAAUUGGACGAAAUGUUAGAGUAAAUAUGUUAGGUUGUAUCAUUUAAAAAUUAACUAGUCGACCAAUUGAUUAUUAAGAUUGUUGGUAGAUAUAUAUAUCUUAUCUAGGCCUACUCAUAUCCUCUCCAUAAACAAAUAAGAAAUUGACAAUUGUAAAAAAAUAUUUCCUUUUCAUGAAAGUUAAAGAGAACUCCACCCAAAAAAAAAAAACCUUAGUAAUCAGCUAGCCAAGAUAAUCGUGUAAAAUUUAAUAUCAAAUCAUAUUUAUCAAUGAGCAGAAAAAAGAUUACUAUGAUGUUACAUAUUGUCAAAGUUAUGGUGUCGCACAGCUAAUGAGUUAUUGAGUUACCGACAUGGUUGUGGCAGUGGUGGAACUGCUUCAUUCUUAAUUAGAGGUUUCGGGUUCGAGCUUUGGGUAUGAAAAGAAUUUUGUUAACAACGUCAUCCUCGAAUGCCCCCCACCCCCAAAAUGAGUCCUGUAGUGCAUGAUUCAAAUUUAGCCGGGGCUCUAAUAUGAGCUCUGAAUGAAAAAAUUUAUAAUGAGCUGGCAUUUGAAGCAUUUAAUUUGGUUAACUAAUUUUUGGAUAUUCAAAAAAUAAUUUGUCGUGUCCCCUAUGAAACUUAAUGUUGUUAUCUGUAAAUAUAAUUAGUUGGUGAAGAGCAAGUGAGGGAACCCAUCCAUACAUGUGUCCAAAAUAAUAGAGAUAGUAGAAUUAUUUUUUUCAUAAUAGAAAAGUAUUCCCUUCAUAGGAAAAUGAUAAUUUCAAGGGAUAAUAGUAUUUUUGGUCCCUCAAUUAUAAGUAAGUUGAUUUUGAUUUUUCUAAUAUAUGACUCAACACAUUUUAUCUUCGAUUAUAAUUAGAAUGUACCCUUUUUAUCCAUUUGUACAGGAAAUAUGCUAUAGAUAUAUUUAGACAACUUUUAAAAGUACAUUACUCUCAAAUAUGGAGCAACGAUACACGUUUAACAUAAUAUUUGGUGAUUACAUGGUAAAACAUUUGGUUAAUACUUCAACAAAUUUGUGAUUAUUCAUCAGCAAAGAGAUUAGAAAUAUGCCCAUUUCAAGUAAUCGAAAAUUAAAUGUGCUUAAUCAAAUAUCAUAAGAAGUAGAUUCAGAUUAUAUCAGUAAUUAAGGGACUAAACAUGCUACACUAACCCUUAAUUUGAAGGAGUUGAUAAAGUCUUUGGAGGAAAAUGGUCAUAUAAUGUUCAAAAGAUAUUGGAAAAAAUAAAAAAAGCAAAUGUCAAACAUCAUGUGGAUUCGUCUUUCCCUUAUUCAAGGGAGGAGAUCAUAAUACUGAUGAUAUUUACAGAUUUUUCAAUAUUACUUAAUUAAAUAGUACAUCUAGUAGUUCCAAGUUGCAACACAAAAUUAUUGAUAAACAAUAUUACUUAAUUAAAUAGUACAUCUAGUAGUUCCAAGUUGCAACACAAAAUUAUUGAUAAACAAUAUUACUUAAUUAAAUAGUACAUCUAGUAGUUCCAAGUUGCAACACAAAAUUAUUGAUAAACAAUAUUACUUAAUUAAAUAGUACAUCUAGUAGUUCCAAGUUGCAACACAAAAUUAUUGAUAAACAAUAUUACUUAAUUAAAUAGUACAUCUAGUAGUUCCAAGUUGCAACACAAAAUUAUUGAUAAAUCGACAUGAUUAACACUUUUUUAUUUCUUAAACAUGCGAUCAGCAUGUUUUCUGACUUUUUCCAUUUCAUAUCAUGAUAAUUUAUUUUCUGCAUUGCCAGCCUAUCAGAAAUUGCCGCAUAUAUCUAUAUAUAAAAUAUUUAAUAUUGAUUUUCAAUAUUUUAUUUCCGUUUAUCUUUUUUUAUUUCCAUCAUUAAUAUUGAAUUUGGUCUAAAUUAUCGACCACAUUCCUUUCCGCUCUAUCAUUUAAAUUGCUUUCUUUCUAGAAUUAUUAUCACUGGAUCGGAGUACACCUGUAAAAUUAAAAGAAAAUUCGGAAAAUGAUUUAUUUUUUUAAAAAAAUCGUAUCGCAAUAAAGAUUAAAGCAAAUGUACCUACACUAAAUGUUAUUUCCUUGAUAUAAAUGUCUCUAUUGGACUCAGAUAACAAGCUUUGAAGUUUUGGGUAUUGAAAAAAAGAAGAAGAAAGACGAAAAAAAAUAAAAAUAUGUGAGUCGAGUUAAAUGGGUUGAUUUCUUUAAAAAAUGGGUACUUAAAUUAAGCUUGAUACGUGUUUUCCGUAGAAAUUAAAAUAAUUUGUGUUGAAAUAUAAUAAAAAUAUAUAUUUAAUUUGGACAGAAAAUAUAAAAAAGGGUAUACUUAAACAAUGUGCACGGGCCCAAUAAUAUAAAUGGUAUGUUUUGGGGUUAAUAAUCGUAGUUUUUGAAAGCGAUUGUUUGCGUGGAUAAAGGAAUAAGUUUGUUUAUCACAAACCUGUACUUUCUUUGACGCUAUUUAAGGCAUAAUAAGACUACCACAUACAAUAUUUUUUAAAUAUAUUAUGUUGUCAAUUAUCAUGAUUUAUAGUAUUUUUACGCAAUUUUUAAACUCUCUUUUAUGAUAGAUAGAAUAGAAUAGAAAAUAGAAAUAUAAUAAUAAAUAUAAAUAUAAUAUAUAGUAUUCAAGAAAGUCCCAAUGUUGAAUAUUAUAUAUUAUACUUGGGCAUAAACUCUCUUACGCACGGGCCCAAUAACUAUUAUUUUUUGUCCUAAUGUAUGUGACACAGAUAAAAUAUAGUGAGUUAUUUANNNNNNNNNNNNNNNNNNNNNNNNNNNNNNNNNNNNNNNNNNNNNNNNNNNNNNNNNNNNNNNNNNNNNNNNNNNNNNNNNNNNNNNNNNNNNNNNNNNNNNNNNNNNNNNNNNNNNNNNNNNNNNNNNNNNNNNNNNNNNNNNNNNNNNNNNNNNNNNNNNNNNNNNNNNNNNNNNNNNNNNNNNNNNNNNNNNNNNNNNNNNNNNNNNNNNNNNNNNNNNNNNNNNNNNNNNNNNNNNNNNNNNNNNNNNNNNNNNNNNNNNNNNNNNNNNNNNNNNNNNNNNNNNNNNNNNNNNNNNNNNNNNNNNNNNNNNNNNNNNNNNNNNNNNNNNNNNNNNNNNNNNNNNNNNNNNNNNNNNNNNNNNNNNNNNNNNNNNNNNNNNNNNNNNNNNNNNNNNNNNNNNNNNNNNNNNNNNNNNNNNNNNNNNNNNNNNNNNNNNNNNNNNNNNNNNNNNNNNNNNNNNNNNNNNNNNNNNNNNNNNNNNNNNNNNNNNNNNNNNNNNNNNNNNNNNNNNNNNNNNNNNNNNNNNNNNNNNNNNNNNNNNNNNNNNNNNNNNNNNNNNNNNNNNNNNNNNNNNNNNNNNNNNNNNNNNNNNNNNNNNNNNNNNNNNNNNNNNNNNNNNNNNNNNNNNNNNNNNNNNNNNNNNNNNNNNNNNNNNNNNNNNNNNNNNNNNNNNNNNNNNNAAUAUGCAAAAUCUAUACAAAAAGUACUAUAAAUUGUAAUUUUUUGCCUAUGAAUAUGAUGAAAAAACACAUUGUAAAAUAUUAGUUAAAAUUCUUAUAGUUUGACUCUAAAAAGGAAAUCAUAACAAUUAAAAGUGCAUAGAGAGAGUAAUAAAUAGGUAAUUAAAUUUGAAGAAGUUUAAAAUAAAAGGUUGAAAAAAAGAAUGAGGUCAAACUUUUUGGCUAAUAAAGUAGUAGGUAAUUAAUGGUGUUAAAUUGUCCAAUAAUAUAAAUUUUAAAGGUACAACCAUAAAAGAAGAAUGUACAACACUAUCAAACACAUAUCAUCCAACACUUGUCAUGUGCUAAGUAGUAGAUAUUUCCACUUAUUAUAUAUAGUAAUAUAUAUAUAUAUAUAUAUAUGUUGUUAUUAUGUAGAGUUCCAAUCAUUACUCCAAAGAAAGAUAAUACGUCUGUUGAUAGUUCCAUUUCCGAUUAUUAAAUCCCAAGAAAUUAAACAGCACACAUUUGUUGAUAAUUGCGUUACUAAUUUAACAUUAAGCACAAAGACUGUGAGGUCUAAUUGCUGGUUGGUCUGGCGGCAGAUUAAUUUAACAAAUAUAUUUCUAUAGUUUUAAAUUACAAAGCAAGAAUAAACAAUAAUUAGCAACUGGAGUACUAAAAGUAGUGAAUUUUUUCCUUUAUGAUAAGGUCAACAUUUAGCCGAUUGAACAAGAUCGUUUUACUUGAUUUUACUCACGAAUUCUAGAUAAGGUUUUAUAAUGAAAGUCAAAAUUUGACUUUUCGUAUUUCUCUAAAUUUUCUUUGUCGGAAAAUUAACUAUAGAUACAAAGCCUAAUUUUUAUGUAUAUUAUUACCCUUAUUUAGAAGAGGGAGUUGUGAGGACCAACACAGCUCCAAAAACUUGUUCCAAAUGUAAUUUAAGCCCUUAUUUAGAAGAGGCAGUUGUGAGGACCAACACAGCUCCAAAAACUUGUUCCAAAUGUAAUUUAAGUUCUACCCCACUUUAUUGUUGUGAAGGACCAACACAGCUCCAAAAACUUGUUCCAAAUGUAAUUUAAGUUGUACCCCCACUUUAUUGAACAAAUAUUGUACUACCAUUGACAAAAGUGGGCUCCAUUUCAUUGUUAAUUGAAUGAGUCUUUAUGGCUUUGUACUAGCAAUUUCCCACAAUCACGUCACCACGUGUAUGCACCUUUUCUAGACAGGUGUUUUUGUCUUUUUACUAGCUAUGUGGGAUACAACUGUUAUCACCUCAUUUUUCAUUUAUUGUUACCGUACUGUGUUCCUUCUACAUCUUUCUUUCUCUCAAAGUAUUCUAUCUACAAAAUUAAUGAUUUCUCUGUGCUCCAAAUCGCUCUUCUUCGGCGGCGUUGCUUCAAGGCUCUAUGUCUUUUUAUUAUUGUGAUGGUUAGAUUUUUUAUUUUCUCCUCAAACUCUUUUCUGUAUUUUAUGGAUCUGCUAUAUUAAAAGACAAUGAAAAUACAGAGAGAUUCAUGCCUUUUUCUAUAUUGAUAAUUUAGUCUAAAAGGUACAUUUUUUAUUUGAAAAAGUUUAUUGUGGUUGUUUGCAUGCCAUUUUUAUGAAUUCUUAAUGUUUUUGAUAUUUCUUGAAUAUUGUAUACAUAUGGAAGAUGCGAGAAUUUGAAAUGGCUAUUCAAAAUUUCUGCAUGUGAGUUCGCAUUUUCUUCUCGCAUUUUUAUGAUAUAAUUCACUCUUUUUGGUGUUCGAACACUGCAUCACAUGGUGGUACAAAGAGCAACCUUAUUGGUUCGAUCUUUCAAGAGUAGAAAAUAUUGAUUUCCGAUCUAGAUACAAGUUUUGGGAAUUUACUUAGUAUUUUAAUUUUAAUUUUUGAGUGUUGUUUGGAGUUAUAUUUCUCAUAAUGUUUAAGGUUUUUGUUUGUUUACUUAUUCCCCUGCAGUAGUUUUCCUUCUAAAUUAUUUCUUGAUUUUGACAUACCUUUAAAUUUUGGCUCAUGUUAGUUACUAGGGUAACAAUUCUUCUAUUGUGUGGAACAUGUUUCUCAUAAACUUAUAAGCAACGUUGAAAGUUUUUGGACUAAUUUAGGUAGGAUUUGAUAGAAAGUAAAAUUAUUGACUGAAAAUUAUUACUUUCAGAACGAAAAUAAUAGUGAAAAAUACUUCUUAUGCCUACACUUGGGACCUCACCUUCCAAUCUAAUACACUACUUCAUUAAUCAAUUGCCUGUUUUCGAGUAGUUUUUUACUAUAUCUUUGAUAUGUUUAGAGAAAAUUGAUCCAACGAUCUAGACAUGAGUGAAGAAAUUAACGUAUAAUAUUUCUUUUGCCUUUCGCAGGUUAAGAGUGAUCAAGUUAUCCUAAAAACUUCUAGGUGAAGCACUCUGUUCUGCUUGUACCGGCGAGGACAUGGGACUUCUGCUGAAAUUAUUGUUCACUACACCAUAGGCAAUGUGGAGGUCACUUUUUUGGAGAUGUACAUGUUUUGGGUCUUAACUGUAAAGUACCCUCCUCCUUUGGCACUCUGAUCUAUCUUGCACUCAUACCACUAAAGAACCAAGGUAGUUUUCUCCAUUUUUUGUGCUUGUAAUACAUAAAUGUGUCUUAUAGUUAUGGCUAUGUAUGAGUUUUUAAUAAAGAUCAAGUGUUACAGUAGAUGAACUCACUUCCUAUCUAUAUUUGCCUAUUUUUUUAUUUUUUUUAAAAAAAACUAAUAAUAAAUCAAUUGACACUAUCAUCUAGACACAAUAUUAUUGUGAUCCAUAGGUAUCAAAGUUAAUCUAAGUCAGAGACAACACUAAAUUGAGAUUCCAACUACAUCUGAAAACAUGUUGUUAAUUCAACUACCAAGUCAUGAUCCUUCUGCGCUAUGACCUUAUGAGUUGAAUGAGCACAUGCGACAUGAGAGCUGAAAAAUUAGAAAUCAUUGUUUCAAAAUUAUGAAUAGGAUGUCAUAAUGGUAUCCAAGAGAGUAACAACAUAUAAAUGAAAUAAGACUACAAGAGAGAUAUGUUGAUCCGUUUUAAUAACCGUGUUGGUAAGUCAAUAUGCCACUUUCUGAUUUUAGUAGAUAUUUGCAUCUAUUUAGAUUAGAUGUCUCAGCUUAUUAUGAUAGUUAAGAAUUGAUGAAAGACUACUAUUUCAAAUACUCUAUAUAGUGUUGUUAUGAUUGAUGAGAUAGUGCCGUUUUGUUUCUAUGAGAUUUUUUCCUUUGUUGUGUGAAUUUCAAUGUCCGUUUGGAUAUAAGAACUAAAACCUGAAAUUCGGUAAAAUAACUGUUGAAAAAAUGUUUCUAUUCUCAAACUGAAUUUUUCGUUCCAAGUCUUAAAAGAAGAGAGGAUCACUGAUAAUUCAAAUAUUUAAGAACUCUUUAAUAAGUUUUGCUCUCUUAUAAUAUAAUAAAUUCUUAUUUGUACUAGGCUUUCUUCUAUAGUCCUAUAUUACCUUGCACGCAACAAUGUUAUUAUAAUCAAAAACCUUGGAAACAUAUGUCAUAUGUUUGAGAAAGUUAAUAGGGCAAGAAAUGUAACAAGACAAAUGAAUAUCAAUUACUUUGUUAUAUUUUCUUUUGAGCAUUUUAUUUGUGUAUUGGUAAUAGUUGAAUUGAGUUUGUAUUGUUUGUUUUAAGCUAAUUUGUAUUUUCUUGCUAAAAAAUUGUAGUUGUGUUAAGCAUAUGACUUUACUGUAUUGACGUCUACUAUAUUAAAUAAAAAUCCUACCUUACUUUAGUAACUAUAUAACCAUUCCAUUUCACACGCUUACAAGUUACAGCUUUAUAGUGUCAUAUAUGUUAGUUCAUGUUUCUCAGAGACAACAUUUAUAUCCGACACUCAGCAGAUAGGAAAAUUAGGUGUGGCAUCAUAGCGGGGGCGAUCAUAUGCUACUUCAGAGUUCCAGAUUUACAUGUAAGUUAAUAUGCCAGUUUCUGUUAAAAUGUUUGAGGCAACUUCACAUGAGUUUAGUUGUUCUUAGCAGUUAUUUAUAUCAAUUUACAUUUGAUGCUUCAUCUUAGUGCGGUUGUUUCAAAUUAUGAAAUGAAAAUCGUUCUUCACUUUGAUGUUAAUUAAAAUUUUACAGUAAAAAUUGAUUGGUAAUACUUUUCAAGAAUGGAACAAGGAUUGCAACCUCUAUAAUGAGAAAAUUUUGCACAACUAAGUAAUAUUCUACGUUGCAUUGAACAUGGAAAAUUUAUCAGUUUAUCUCAAGUAUUGUACAAAAGUUUUGAUUCCCCUGUUUUUGGGAGAAAUAUUGGAGCACCAUCAUAUAUGGCACCAACAUUAAGUUUACGAAAGUCUGGUAUUGAAGUACCAUCGAAGUAUAUGCAAGAUUCAUUAUCAAAAUUGCGAAGAUGGAGUUCAGAUUUUGGUGUUGUGAAGCCAGAGUCUUUAAAAUUAGGAUUGAAAUUCAAGAAUCCAAUGCAAAGGGCUACUACUUCACUUCACAGUAAAACUUCUAAAUGGGCUUUGUCUCCUGGAGGGUUGCUACUUCACUUAAUAGUAAAACUUCUAAAUGGGCUUUGUCUCCUGGAAGGCCGAAUUUGCCUCAUGUGUUGAUGCAGAAUAAAGGAAUUUUUACAUCGAAUAUUAAGCCUCCGACGAGUCCUUCGAAGGGAAAAAAUGUUGGGAAUUUCCUUAGCAUGGGGCUUGAAUUGCUUAAAGGUAAGAUUUUUUAUUUUUUUUUACAGUUGAAGCUACAGUGGAGGCUUCGGUUUGGCUCCCAAACCCAUGUCAUUUUCUUUCUUCUUUUUCAUUUUUUUAGUAACAAAAUAAACCAACAGUAGGACCAAACUUCACAAUUACUCCACUUCCCUUCCUUGCUUCGAGGAGGUUAUAUAAUAGUAACAGAAGGAGACAGGUAUAGAAUAGAAGUCUCCGCUUAGUCCUGGCAUAACGGAGAGCAUUCAUCAUUUGAGGAUACUUCAUAAUAAAUUGUUGCAGUGGAGAUAUAUAAAUACCAGAGCUGAUUCAAUCCGUCACAACUCAGUAGACAAGCUCAGGUCAGUCGCGGAGUUAGAAAUUUUACUAAUUGUUUAUUUGGUUUUUCUCUUAGGCAAACUUAGUAUAUGCUUGGGAUUGUCUAAUGAAAAUGAGAAUCUGUGCUACAAAAGAAGUUGCAGCUACAGAGGAAAAACAUGGAAAUGAAAUUGAGUUUUGUUCUUUAUUCUCAAGUAAGAACUGAUUUACCCUUGAUGAAUAUCGGUCAGACAGUAACAAAAAUCAUCACAACAAUUAAAUAUAUGAUUUUUUCGCAAUGUAUUGUGCAAAUAAAGUUACUAGAAGCAUGGGGUUCUAUGGAAAAGCAGCAUUCUUCAGCAGUGUCAAGUUCCCUAGAUUGUUUACAAUCCGCAGUCUGUAGGGUUCCUCUCAUUGAAGGAGCCACGGUAAGUCCAUUGGCAAACCAGAAAAAAUCGUUAAGGUUGUUAAUGAUUUAAUAUACAUGUCUAAAAAGUAACUUUUGAUCUGUAUAUACUAAAAAAUAUUGUUUACUUUAUAAUUUUCCAUUAGAGAGUGUUUAACUAACCACCCUUCACUUUAUGUGGCUACGUAUAAGCCAUAAGGUAUUUCACUGACAAGAUUAAGUCUGUAAAUGGAGCCACAAUCGGCUAUUAUUGCUCUUUAACAUGCAUCAGAUGUACCUUCAUUGAUCAAGGUAAGUUUAUGUUCGUUGUCACUUUCUGUUUAUCAAUUUUUCGGGUUAAAUAGACCAUAUGAAAACAUAGAUAACUAGAGAUCAAAAUCAAGAAUUCAUUUACGGGCAAGUCGAACCCCUCUUUCUAUGGUUGAGUUAUCCCAUGACUGCUAGAUCAGGAAGAGCCAACCAUACGUAGGAGGAGACAACUAAUUCAUGGAUGCCACUGUUAAAUUUCUUUUAAUGCUAUUGCAACGUCCAUUUAAGCUUGAUUUCUCAUUCUAAUCUUAUCCUUAAUUGCAAAGCUGUCAAUGUAUCAUUGGUAUUGUAUAAAAAUAGUCUUCAGUCGCUAAAAAAGUCGGUGAUCUACUUUUCAAGAAGCCCUAGAUCAUAUGACUUUUCUGAUUAUCAUUCUUGCAGGUUCUUUCAUUUUAAGUCAAGGUAAGUUUAUUUUCUCUGUCGCAUUCUUUUUAUAUUUUUUUAUCAACUUUUCUGUUUCUCCUAUUAAGUAUUGAGAAGCAAGACUAUGUUAUGAGAGACUACACAAUGAAAUGUGAUAUCUUGGAAAACAUUUAGAAUUACAAUGCUGUGAAUUUGUGAUUUUAGUUAUUCAUAGUAAGAAGAUAAAAAAUAUAUAUAUAAUUAUGUCAAAAUUAAAAAAAUAGCUAGCCGCCCAAAUGUAUUAAGAAAAUUAUGUGUNNNNNNNNNNNNNNNNNNNNNNNNNNNNNNNNNNNNNNNNNNNNNNNNNNNNNNNNNNNNNNNNNNNNNNNNNNNNNNNNNNNNNNNNNNNNNNNNNNNNNNNNNNNNNNNNNNNNNNNNNNNNNNNNNNNNNNNNNNNNNNNNNNNNNNNNNNNNNNNNNNNNNNNNNNNNNNNNNNNNNNNNNNNNNNNNNNNNNNNNNNNNNNNNNNNNNNNNNNNNNNNNNNNNNNNNNNNNNNNNNNNNNNNNNNNNNNNNNNNNNNNNNNNNNNNNNNNNNNNNNNNNNNNNNNNNNNNNNNNNNNNNNNNNNNNNNNNNNNNNNNNNNNNNNNNNNNNNNNNNNNNNNNNNNNNNNNNNNNNNNNNNNNNNNNNNNNNNNNNNNNNNNNNNNNNNNNNNNNNNNNNNNNNNNNNNNNNNNNNNNNNNNNNNNNNNNNNNNNNNNNNNNNNNNNNNNNNNNNNNNNNNNNNNNNNNNNNNNNNNNNNNNNNNNNNNNNNNNNNNNNNNNNNNNNNNNNNNNNNNNNNNNNNNNNNNNNNNNNNNNNNNNNNNNNNNNNNNNNNNNNNNNNNNNNNNNNNNNNNNNNNNNNNNNNNNNNNNNNNNNNNNNNNNNNNNNNNNNNNNNNNNNNNNNNNNNNNNNNNNNNNNNNNNNNNNNNNNNNNNNNNNNNNNNNNNNNNNNNNNNNNNNNNNNNNNNNNNNNNNNNNNNNNNNNNNNNNNNNNNNNNNNNNNNNNNNNNNNNNNNNNNNNNNNNNNNNNNNNNNNNNNNNNNNNNNNNNNNNNNNNNNNNNNNNNNNNNNNNNNNNNNNNNNNNNNNNNNNNNNNNNNNNNNNNNNNNNNNNNNNNNNNNNNNNNNNNNNNNNNNNNNNNNNNNNNNNNNNNNNNNNNNNNNNNNNNNNNNNNNNNNNNNNNNNNNNNNNNNNNNNNNNNNNNNNNNNNNNNNNNNNNNNNNNNNNNNNNNNNNNNNNNNNNNNNNNNNNNNNNNNNNNNNNNNNNNNNNNNNNNNNNNNNNNNNNNNNNNNNNNNNNNNNNNNNNNNNNNNNNNNNNNNNNNNNNNNNNNNNNNNNNNNNNNNNNNNNNNNNNNNNNNNNNNNNNNNNNNNNNNNNNNNNNNNNNNNNNNNNNNNNNNNNNNNNNNNNNNNNNNNNNNNNNNNNNNNNNNNNNNNNNNNNNNNNNNNNNNNNNNNNNNNNNNNNNNNNNNNNNNNNNNNNNNNNNNNNNNNNNNNNNNNNNNNNNNNNNNNNNNNNNNNNNNNNNNNNNNNNNNNNNNNNNNNNNNNNNNNNNNNNNNNNNNNNNNNNNNNNNNNNNNNNNNNNNNNNNNNNNNNNNNNNNNNNNNNNNNNNNNNNNNNNNNNNNNNNNNNNNNNNNNNNNNNNNNNNNNNNNNNNNNNNNNNNNNNNNNNNNNNNNNNNNNNNNNNNNNNNNNNNNNNNNNNNNNNNNNNNNNNNNNNNNNNNNNNNNNNNNNNNNNNNNNNNNNNNNNNNNNNNNNNNNNNNNNNNNNNNNNNNNNNNNNNNNNNNNNNNNNNNNNNNNNNNNNNNNNNNNNNNNNNNNNNNNNNNNNNNNNNNNNNNNNNNNNNNNNNNNNNNNNNNNNNNNNNNNNNNNNNNNNNNNNNNNNNNNNNNNNNNNNNNNNNNNNNNNNNNNNNNNNNNNNNNNNNNNNNNNNNNNNNNNNNNNNNNNNNNNNNNNNNNNNNNNNNNNNNNNNNNNNNNNNNNNNNNNNNNNNNNNNNNNNNNNNNNNNNNNNNNNNNNNNNNNNNNNNNNNNNNNNNNNNNNNNNNNNNNNNNNNNNNNNNNNNNNNNNNNCAACUUCAUAAAGUGUUGGUAGUAAAAUAGUUCCACUACAAAGGACUCAAUUACUUAAAGAAAACCCUUUCGGAUAUUCACAUUUUGCUUAUUGGAUGUUGAUGCUUUUUCAUUAGCAUUUGUUUUUCUUAUAAUUGACUUAUUUUAAAAGAGCAACAUUGGUAGGGGAUAUGAUUUAGGUGUCAUUUUCAAUUCGACAGAAUAUAGGUAAGAAAUUAUCAAUGAAAAGUUUACUUACUCUUAAGUUAGAAUAACAAUUUAAUUUUGUUACUGUUGGGCCCGUGCUUGACACGGGCCGUCCCAUCUAGUAUAUAUAUAAAGGACAGGAAAGAAUAUUUGAGAUUUUAUCAUUUUAAUAGAUGUUGAUGUCAUAGGGUUGUUUAUGUAGUUUAAUAUUACAUAAAUAUUCUUUUAUUCUGGAUUAUGUAAUUAAUACUUUUUGGCAAUGGCCAGGAGAUGAGUAAAAAGUUGUUGAGGCUUUAGACAUUAUGGCCAUGUGAUCAGAGCCUGAAAUUUCUUCCACUUCAUCUGGUGGAUUCUUUUCAAUCAUAUACUAUUUUAAUUCCUCCGGCAGAAUUUUAUCUUCAGCAUCACAACGAACGCAUACAUUUUGCUCGAAAGAACCAUCUCCUUUGAUAUGUCUUCCGGACUGUGCAAGUAUAUUGGCCUUACUAACGUAGUAGCAAGCGCCAAAUCCUAUCACCAAACAGAGGAAAAUAAAAUAAAAUGGAUUUGUUUCUAAGAUAAACUAGUGAAAUUUUCGCCUAGCCGGGUAAUUUCAGGGGUCUUCUUUAGUCUAGUUGAAGAUUUGUAUGUUUGUGCAGAGGAUUCAUAGCAGACUUCACUAUGUCUCGUUUUGAAAAGAAAUGAAUCUUGUACCUGAUUCGAUCGCAAAAAAUUAGAGGCCCAAACACCACUUGGUGCUUAGCAGGCUCAGCUGAUAAAGCUUUCCAUGGCUUUAGAAAUCGCGAAUCCACCAAGGCUAUGGCCUACAAGAACCACUUUUUCAUGUGUAGGAAGAGAAGCCAUGAACUCUGUUAGCGGACUAAAGUAAUCAGAUAAAUAAACGUGGGAUUCUAAGGACCUGCUUCGGGUUGAUCCCUGAAGCACCCAAAUAUUGCCGUGACAUUAUGCCCUGAAGAUCUCAUCAGUGUCACAAUCUUGUACCAAGACCAGGCUCCACGACACGCGCCAUGUACUAGCACAAAGUGCUUGUUAGCUUUAGGCCAUUUAGGCCCUGGUGCUGUUGAAUUUACAUAUGGCAACAAAAGUAUCAGUACUAAACUUUAGAAACUUGAUUUCUUUUCUAGUGUUGAAGUACAAAGAAUCUUAUAAGGUGAUAAUAAACCUUGUCCACAUGAUUAUUUGAGUGAAUUUUGAAUUUUUUUCUUCCUUCGAAUUCAACAUUUCACUUGAUCAGGGCUUACGUGGGGUUGCAGAAGUUUGUCAAAUGUAGUGAAAAUGAUUGAAGUGUCUUUUGCUUGCGCAUUUAGCUAUCUUGAGCCAAAGUUACGUUUUGCUUUCGAUUUGUCUUUGAAAGACAAGUACCCAAAUAGCCGAUUGGAGGACCGCUAUUCAAGUCAUUGAAAAUUACAAAAUAUUUAUAUUUUACAGGUUUCUGAAUCAACUAUUCAGAGACUUAUGAGACUGAAGUGGAAAUUCAAUAUAGAGUUUAUAAUUGGGGAAUGUCAAGCCAAAAGUUCGAAUUUAAGACAUUUAGGUAUGAACUUAGGAUUGUUACUCCCUAACUCCACAUCUGUAAGUUUAAAGCUUGACCUAUACACCAAGCCUAACUUCAGACGCGUAUAUCUGAUUUUGAACUUAAGUUUGAAUGAAGUCCAACUUCAGACGUACAUUCAGGUCUGAAGUUAACGACUACAUCAAUUGUCGUCACAAUAUUGUAUACCAAUUUUUUUUCCCUUUCCACCACUGGACUUAUGUCUCCUUUGAUUUCGUUGUUUUGAUAGAUACAACUUCCACAAAAGGGAGAGUUUAUCCCACUCAACAUUAGAUAUUGAACCUUAUGUUGCUGUACUCUAUAUAAAGUUCCUCAAUGGUAUUUAAGAGACUGAAAUUUUAUGAUAUUGUUCUUAUUUGAACCUAUUUUCAUUGUAAUCGGUUGCUUAAGUUAGGAGUUUUUCAGAAGUUCUAUAUAAAGUUUAUUAAUGCACCAUUUCCAAAACCCAGGAUGCAAUAUGAUAAGUUAAAUUAUUAUUUUUUUUAAAAAGAUAGGCAACUUGUUUGUAUAUUGAGGUAUAUAUAGUGUUUGAAAUAAAAUUAUAAAUUUGAAAACUGUGUAAAAAAUAUUAUAAAUCACAACAAUUAACAAUUUAAAGAAUUUAAAAGAUACAUACAAAAAUUCGGUAAAAAGACUUAAGAAUCCUCAAAAAACAAGAGUGCCUUGCUUGGAUGGUAUGAGUUGUUGGAACAAAAGGAUUGUGUGUACUCAAUUGAUCUAGGGUGCACGCCUCCCAAAAACUAGUAGUAUCAGAUUACAGGGAAAGUUGAAGUACAAUUUCUAAAAUUUAUUUCAGUAUACUUUAUUAUUGAAUAUUUAAUCAAAGAUUAAUAAGCUCGUCACUUGUGAGCAAUACGUAGAAGAAGAGUAAAAAGUUUUAGGGGCUUAGACAUCAUGGCCAUGUGAUCAGAGCCUGAAAUCUUUUUCACUUCAUCUGGUGGAUUAUUUUCAAUCAUCCAAUGUUGAAAUUCCUUGGGUAGAGUUUUAUCUUCAACAGCCACAAUGAAUACUCGUCUAACUGUUCCGUACUUUUUGCUUGAAACAACUAUCCCCUUAGAAAAAUCUUCCACGCUGUAUAGGUAUAGAGGCCUUACUAGUGUAGUGGCCAGCGCCAAAUCCUAACAACAAAAGGGAAAAAAAAGAAGAGGAAACUUUAUCAGUUCAAUGAUGUUGAUGUUCUACUCGAAUCAACUGGAGAAAACAUGCAACAUUAGAGCCAUCGUCAUGACCAUUUUGCUUGCUUACCUGAAUUGGGCUCAACUGAUAAACAUUUCUUGCCAAGUACUUUGGACCAAAGAUGAAGGUUGUUGGAGGAUUGGUUGGUCCAUUAUCAUACGUUACACGAUUAUCAAGUUGAGAUACAUUUCCAUUGAAAGAUUGUAACUAAAUAAUAGUUUCAAAAUGAAAAAGAUGUUAGUAGCUGACUGAACAGAUCAUAGCAAAGGCAAAGUUGGUGAAUUAUAUACAUAUAUAUAUGUACCUUGGUUAAGAGAGUGGUCACAUUUAGAGUUGGACCAGGCAUCAGAGCAGUAACAAAUACAGCAACUGAAAUCUUUUCUGGAAAUCUUUCCAUGGCAUUAGAUAUGGCCAAUCCACCAAAGCUAUGGCCUACAAGAAUCACUUUCUCAUGUGCAGGAAGAGAAGCCAUGAACUCCAUUAAUGGACUAAAGUAAUCAAAUAAAUGUGGGAUUUCCAGGACCUGUUUGUUGUUGAUCCCUGAAGCACCUAAGUCAAGAGAUGUGACAUUAUGCCCUGAAGAUCUUAUCAGUGCCACAAUUUUGUACCAAGACCAGGCUCCGUGACACGCCCCAUGAACUAGCACAAAGUGCUUGAUAGUUUUACACCUUGAUGUCGUUGAAUUUACACAUGGCAACAAAACUAUCAGUACUAAACUUAUUAGAAACUUGUUUUUCUCCAUUUGCUUUCUUUUCUUCUUCUGAACGAUGGUAUGAACCAUUACAAGGCAAUUAUUAUAGAUAAUCAAGGUGUUUGACCUUCUAACUUACCUCCCUGCUGAAGCAAUCCUAUGUCAAAUAUUAUUUAUUGGGGAUUUUAUCAUUCACUAAGUCAACUAGAGGAAGAGAAUAGAUUAUUAGAUUAUCCAGGCUGAAGUUGCAUAAAACAGUUUAAUUGUCAGUAUCACUGAUAAAAGAAAGGAUAACAAAGAUCAAUGCCAACUGCUGACUGAACCUAAAAGUCUAUACUAUGCAGGAUAAAUGAGGACAUUUUCAAACAAAGUCACAAUCAUUUGACUUAAAAUUACAGGGGACAUGAUCAUAAUUCAUAAAGGUCAUAGAUGUUACCUAACAGAGGACUCUAUGGCCCGAGUGAUUUCAUACAGCAGAAGAAAAUUGUUAAGUGAGGGGGAAUAAUCAAAUUAAGCACAGGGUGCUUAAAUCUCAUGAAAUCACUGGAAUUUUGGUAUCAUUCUUUGCAUUAAAUUAAACCAAACAUGUUCAACAAAUAUAAUAAAAAUAAGAAAGGGAAAUUUGAACUGUUUCGUGAGGGUAGAAACGUUCAGAGUUGGACCAGACAUCAUUAUUUCAGCAACAAAAACAGCAACUGAAUUCGAGUAGUGUGAAAAUCUUGAGUGCUUGGAUUUUGUUCCUUCGACAUUUCAGUAAGUCAAAGGUAAGUUGGGGCUAGAGUUGUAAGUCCAAACAUAACAUAUGUACAUUAACUUUUGGAAUCUAUGAUCUGAUGAAAAUAAUUGCAACAUGGCGUUACUGGGAUCCUUAGAAGUUAAAUUAUUCUGUGAAAUGCUCAUGUAUUGGAGAUGUAAUUAGAAAGGCAUGAUUUCACAAAAUCCCUGACGCCAAGUGAUAAGCCCAAAAAUUACAACUCUGCUUAUGUUGAACAUUUCCAAGAUGUUUUUUGUGGGGAACAACAAAGGGAAUCUCUACACAAUGAACAAAAGACUGAUUCAACAAAGGGUAAUCUAAUUUUAUUUCAACUAUGCAUUGUUCAUGAAUAUGUAAUACAAGCUGGUUUAAGCUAUUAAGAUAGCUUGUCAUUUCUUGGCAAUACGCAUAAGAAGAGUAAAAAGUUGACGGGGCUUAGACAUCAUGGGCAUGUGAUCAGAUCCUAAAAUCUCUUCCACUUGAUCUGGCGGAUUCUUUUCAAUCAUUAACUGUUGAAAUUCCUUCUUUAGAAUUUUAUCUUCAGCUGCCACAAUAUACGCUCGUCUAACUGAUCCAUAAUUUUUGUUUGAAAGAACUAUCUCCUUUGAUAUUUCAUCCAAACUGUGAAAAUAAAUUGGCCUUACUAAUGUAGUAGCCAGUGCCCAGUCCUAACACCAAGAAGGAAAAGAAAAUCGUUUGUUAAGGCCAUUCUCAUUAUCAAGAGUACCAGUACUCAGCUAUUUCAAUUUAUAUUUUUACUAUGCUCUGCAGUCUGCUUACCUGAAUUGGGCUCAGUGGAUAAAGAUAACUCGCCAAGUACUUUGGACCAAAGAUGAAGGUUGUUGGAGGAUUGGCAAGUCCAUUAUCGAAUGUAAGACGAUUAUCAAGUUUAAAUAUUGCUCCACUGGAUGACUACAGUAAAGUAUAAUAGUUUCAAACAUGAAUGUAAGCUAACAUAAAGAAUAUCAUUUCAUGGCUAAAUUUGAAAAUGAUACCUCAUUGAAGAUGGUGGCUGCAUCAAGCAUUGGACCAGGCAUUAGAGCAGUGACAAAUAUAGCAACUGAAAUCUUUUCAGGAAAGCUUUCCAUGGCUUUAGAUAUGGCAAAUCCGCCAAGGCUAUGGCCAACAAGAAUCACUUUUUCAUCUGCUGGAAGAGAAGCCAUGAACUCCAUUAGUGGUCUAAAGUAAUCAGAUAAAUGUGGGAUUUGAAGGACCUGUCUCGGGUUGACCCCUGCACCACCCAAGUCCAGAGCUGUUACAUUAUGCCCUGUUGUUUUUAUUGACGCCAUAGUCUUGUACCAAGACCAUGCUCCAUGGCAAGCCCCAUGAACAAGCACGAAGUGCUUGCGAGCUUUAGGCCGUUUAGGCCCUGACAUGGUUGCAUUUACACAUGACAACAGAAGUAUUAGAACAACUAGACUUGUUAGAAACUUGCUUUUCUCCAUAUCUUUUUCUUCUUCUUUUGAAGAAUGAGCACAUUGUAUGAACCAUUACAAGGCAAUUAUAUAAUUCCAGGAGUUUGACAUUUGUUAAUUAAUUUACUUACUUUCAUGCUGAAGUAACCCCAUGUUAGGUGCUAAUUGCUAUAGGGACAUUUUAUUUUUUUAUUGGAUAUGUUUCUUGGAAGUUCAAUCAUUCAUCAAAAGAGAAUAAAUAAGUAAAAUUUCUGUUUUCUCCAGAUAAUUGGAAUGAAAUCAUUCACUAUUUUAUUUUCAUAUUGGAUGGGUAUAUUUGGGCCAUUUAUGUAACUAUAGAUAUAUGUGAGCCACUUUUGUAAUAUAAGACAUGUUCUAUCUAACCUGGCAAAAGUGCAUUCCUUCAAUAAUUUCUGAUAUUGAGAGACUUGCCCAACUGUAUUCGCAAGUCCAUCAAACCCUCCAAAGAAACAAACAACAGCCUAAUAACACAAUAACAAAGAACUUUACAAUGGCCAAACUUGAUGCUGCACUCUAGAAAUAAUUUCCUAAAUAGGCUUCAAAUAGCCGCCAACAGAUAGUAUCAAGUCACAAAUUGGUCAAGCAACAAUUCAACUCAUUGCUGCAGUCAUAGGCAGUUUCCAGAAUCAAGAAAAAAUUAGCAAUAAACAGAUUCGUCUCAAACCUGACCAAAGAGGGUUACAGUUUCUGUUUGGAGGAUUUUCUUCUUGGAAAAAUGGUCCUAUAAUAAGGCGACCACCACAAGUCAACCGGAGAUGCCAAACAGAUUUUGUAACAGAGAGCCGGACCAAGAUUUGUCCACUCACGCGCCUUCACGCGCUCUUCGGACUGGGUUGUCUCCGCCAGCUUGAACGACGCGUGUGAUUCACGCACUUCUCCUCUGGAAACCGGCUUCUGGGGUUUUGUAGAUCGGGGUAAGAUGGUCGUUCUUAGGUUGGUGGCGGCAGCUAAAUUUCAUUUACAUACUGAGCCAAUUCCGGCAAGCUUUCUGAGGUAACUCGGAAAAAUGUUUUCUAACACCAUUUAAAGAUAUGGCACCUAAGGUGAGCAGAGAAUUGUUCAAGUCUAUAAGCAGACUGCCCAUUUAUUUUUCAAUCAAUGUGAAACUUUAACCUAGUCUAACCAUCAUUAUUAUUAUUAUUAUUAUAGAGAGGCCAAUCAAGUUGCGGAUGGACUUGCUACGGAAUCAACAAAAUUGAUUCUGUGUGUUUUAUUUUGAUACUAGUCUGUGAGAGUUUUAUCUUGUCAAAUCCUUGAUUGUUUCUCUUCCAUCUUUCCCUUCGUUUGUUCAAUCUUUCAUCUUGCGCCUUCAAUCACGUGCCUUCCUACAUAGUUGUUUUACCCACGAGAUAAGGGGAAAGUGUUGUGGUACCGAUUGUAACAGUCCAAUUGAACCAAGAUAGUAAUAUUGAUAUGUAAUUAGAGAAAAUAGAGAUAGUUUACUGAUGUCAAUUCCAAACACUGAAAUUACAACGAAACGAAACAACAACUGAAAGAAAAUGAUUGAGAUGUCAAAUUAACUAACUCGACAUUGGGGCUUCCAUGAAAGAAUUCAUGAGAUCGCCAUAGAAAUGCAUCAUAUAUGUGAAUUGCUGCUUCCCUCCUCAGCUAUGCAGUCAUGUGUAGUUUAAAUUAUUUCAACUAAGCUUCAUUCUUGAAUAUGUAAUGAAAAGCUGUGUCUGUCAUUUGUGAGCAAUGCUCAUAAUAAGAGUUAAAAGUUGAAGGGGCUUAGACAUGAUGACCAUAUGGUCAGAGUCCUCGAUCUCUUUCACUUCAUCAGGUGGAUUCUUUUCAAUCAUCUGCCUUUGAAAUUCCUUCUUUAGAAAUUUAUCUUUAGCAGCAAUAAUGAACACUCGUCUAACUGAUCCAUACCUUUUGCUUGAAAGAUCUAUCUCCUUAGCAACAUCUUCCACACUGUAUAAGUAUAGCGGCCUUACUAGUGUAGUGGCCAACGUCAAAUCCUAACACCAAGAAGGAAAAAUAAACUAAUUUAAAUCAGUUACUUUCCAUGUCCAUGACCAGAAUAACAAGACUUUGCUAUUUCAUGUAUAUAUCUAUGUUAUGCUUUACUUACCUCAAUUGGGCUCAGAUGGUAAACAUUAGUGGCCAAAUACUUUGGAUCAUCAAGGAAGGUGGUUGGAGGAUUGGUAGGUCCAUUAUCAUAUGUCACACGAUUAUCAAGUGCAGAUAAUACUCCCCUAGAUGACUAUAACAAAGUAUAUUUAGUUUCAAACAUUUAAAAAGUGUAAGCUAACAUAUAUAACAGAUCAUCCCCAUGGCAAAAAAUUGAGAAUACAUAUGAGAAAUUGAUACCUCCAUGUAGACAGUGGUUGCAUUGAGAGUUGGACCAGGCAUUAGAGCAGUGACAAAUACAGCAACUGAAAUCUUUUCGAGAAAACUUUCCAUGGCUUUAGAUAUGGCUAACCCACCAUGGCUAUGGCCAACAAGAACCACUUUUUCAUGUGCUGGAAGAGAAGCCAUGAACUUCAUUAGUGGACUAAAGUAAUCGGAUAAAUGUUGGACUUGGAGGACCUGCUUAGGGUUGAUUCCUGAAGCACCCAAGUCAAUAGCUGUGACAUUAUGUCCUGAAGAUCUCAUUAAUGCCACAAUCUUGUACCAAGACCAGGCUCCAUUGCCUGCCUUGUGAACUAGCACAAAGUGCUUGCUAGCUUUAGGAAAUUUAGACCCUGACAAGGUUGCAUUUACAUAUGGCAACAGAAGUAUUAGAACUACUAGACUUGUUAGAUACAUAUUUUUCUCCAUGUCUUUGUAUCCUUCUUUUGAAGAAUGAGCACAUAAAGGUUUCUUAACGGAUGUGUCAAGUUAAUAUGGCCCUAGUAAAAUGAAACCGAGGGAGAAGAUGAAGAAAUUGAAUUGAUUCAUGAUGGUAUUUAUAGCUUUGGAAAAAGGAAUUGCAUUUCGUGUUUGAGCAUUUUAAAAAAAAUAAAUUAAAGUGCACGUAGCAUACAAUCUUUAAUGAAAGGUGGCAUUUAGAUUUUAGUUCCUCCUAACCUAAAUUUUCGGCUAGCUAGCUAGGACCAAGUUUUGGUAACAGUGAUAAAUAAAAAGUGUAAGGAUUUAAUUGUUGAGAAAAGUAUGAGCUUGAAGAGAAAGAGGGUCCUGGGAGGGGGUAAGAGUGGCUAUAAUUUUAAUGGUUCGACUCACAUAGACCUCCUUACACUCUGCUACUAUGACCUGCAUUUGUACACAAUAACUCCCAGUUCCUGCACUGUUUAUUCAUUUAUAAAGUUGUGGAUUGAGGUAAAUGGCAUCAACGAGCUUUUGCUCAUCUACAGCAUAUUCCUCAUUCAUAUUGUCCUCCUCCCCAUUGACGAGAUUUAACUGUUUGGUCUUGAACUAAAUUUAAGUAAUUACAGGAAAUUGAGGUCCUUUAUUGAUGUAAAUUUCAAACACUGAAAUAACAAUGAAGGAAAUAACAACCGAAAGAAAAUUGAAAUAUCAAAUUAACUAGGACUUCUAUGGAAGAAACUGAGUCGUCAUAUAAAUGCAUCAAAUAUGUGAAUUGACUGAAGUUUUAUUCUCAGCCUUAAGCCUGUCCCCCUUAUUCUUCUUAACUAACAGCUCUUAAUUAGCUAUACUUGUUGGCAAUGCUCAGAAGAGUAGUAAAAAGUUGUUUGGGCUUAGACAUAAUCAUCAUGUGGUCGGAGCCCUGGAUCUCUUCCACUUCAUUUGAUGGAUUCUUUUCAAUCAUCAAUUUUAGAAAUUCCUUUGUCAGGGCAUUAUUUUCAGCAGCAACAAUAAACACUCGCCUAACUAAUCCAUAUCUUUUCCUUGUAAGAACUAUCUCCUUAGAAACAUCUUCCGCGUUGUAUAAAUAAAAUGGCCUUACUAGUGUAGUGGCCAGUGCCAAAUCCUAACACCAAGAAGGAAAAACAUGAUUUAAAUUAGGCUUAGUUGAUGUUGCGGGUUAAGUACUUGAAUAGAUCUGUAAUUUGUAUAAACUACUGAAAUCUUCCAAUAGCCAAUAGGUGAUGCCUACUAGUAAUUGUUUGCCAAAGAAGUCAGUCAGUCAUUUAGGGCCAUUCUCAUGACCAGAAUAACAUAAUGUAUUCGCUACUUCAAUUACAAUAUAAAUUUGUAUUAUGAUUUGCUUACCUCAUUCGAACUCAGCUGGUAAAAAUUAGUUGCCAAGUACUUUGGACCUGAGAUGAGGGUGGUUGGAGGAUUUGUAGGUCCAUUGUCGUAUGUAACAUGAUUAUCAAGUUGAGUGCUUACUGCACUGACUACCUAUAACGAAGUAUAUUUAGUUUCAACCAUGUAAAAGUUUAAACAAACUUAAUAGAUCAUCUCAUGGCUUAAAGUUGGGAAUAUGGAAAAUUGAUACCAUAGUGUAAAGGGUGGCUGCAUUGAUAUUUGGACCAGGCAUUAGAGCAGUGACAAAUACAGCAACUGAAAUCUUUUCUGGGAAAGUUUCCAUGGCUUUAGAAAUGACGAGUCCACCAAAGGCAUGACCUACAAGAACUAUUUUUUUAUCUGCGGGAAGUGAAGCCAUGAACUCCAUUAGCGGACUCAAGUAAUCAGAAAAAAAUGGGAUUUCAAGGGCCUGUUUGGGGUUGAUCCCUGAAGCACCCAAGUCAAGAGCUGUUACAUUAUGCCCCGAAGAUCUCAUCAAUGCCACAAUCUUGUACCAGGACCAUGCUCCGUGGAAUGCCGUAUGAACUAGCACAAAAUGCUUCUUAUCUUUAGGGGGUGAUGAAAAGGUUGCAUUUGCAUAGGGCAACAGAGACUCGCUUUUCUCCAUAUCUUUUGAAGGAUAUGAGCACAUAAUAUGAACUAUUACAUGGCAACUUUAUAAUAGGAGGAGUUAGGUUUCUGCCAACUUACUUUCUAUUUUUGGAGGAGUUUUGACUCUUGCCAAUUUACUUCUAUGCAGGAGCAACCCUACAUUAGCUAUUAUUUGCACUAGUU